UAGCAUACGAAGACUUCAUUUUGCAAAUAGAGGCCUCGUAGAAAGAAAUUAAUGUGGUAGCCCUUUCCCAAGAAACAAAUAAAUUAAAAACUUUGAGUCCACCAAGCAUUUAAAUCCAAGUAUUGCGUUCACAUCUAUCCCUUUGUGAUGUAUUUAUUUACCUGAAAUUGAUAAUUAGCACGUCAAGACUCAUCUCUUUAUCCUUGAAACAACCAAGCCCAUUUUGCUAACACACAAUUCCAUUUCUCCUAUGCUACUUCCUCUUGCCAGAAUGAAUUCCUCGGCCUUUUCUUUUCUUUCAGAUUUUGUUCUUGUAUUGUUGCUCUUCAUUCAAGUCCCUUCAUCCUCGAGCAACGAUGACCUGCUCAGUACUGCCUGUAGUAAAAAGUUUGUGUGUGGAAUAUUUCCAUGGAUUUUCCGUUUUGGGGAACUGACAGGUCAUCUGCCUGUGGCGUUCCAGAUUUUAAGCUCAGGUGUGAGAAUAAUACUGCCAAGAUGAGUAUCAGUCAGGUUGCAUAUCGGGUUUUGGAAAUCAAUCAGGAUAAUGGAAUUCUCAGGAUUGCAAGAGAGGACUACUUUGUUGGAUUGUGUCCACCUCAAUUUAGGAACAGCACGUUCAAUCCUAAGGUUUUCGAGUAGUAUGUUGAGGGUUACAAAAAUAUGACAUUCAUUUAUGGUUGCAAGGAUGCUCCUGAUCCAACCAUACCUGGUACAAUACCUAGUAUACAUUUCACUUGCAAAAUAAAUGAGGUUAAUGAUCAAGGUGGUUAUAUCCAAGUAGGAGAUAAUGGUCCAGGGGAAUGCUAUCAUAGUGUCUUUGUGCCAGUUUCUGUAACAGAUUGGCAACCAUUCGGGAAUAUGCAAGCUUUUGAUUGGUCACAAUUCGGGAAUAUGCAAGCUUUUGAUUGGUCACAAUUCGGGAAUAUGCGAGCUUGGGAAGAACUCUUGAAAAAAGGAUUCGAGAGAUGGUAGGAAGGUCGAUGGGGAGGCGUGGGGAAUGCUCAACCUCUUCAGGUAUGUACCUCAACUUCUCCUCGAAUCAGUUUAUGGUGAACUCCAGUCACUUGUUGAUGCUGCACACACCUUAAUUAGUUCCGUUCCUGUUUUGUUAUUUUAGUUUUAUUUUAAAUAGACUUGGACAGAAGUAAACAUCAAUAUGAUGAUGAUAUUGAUCUCUUAGAACCACUUGAAUAGUCGACUAUUAGGGUGGCUCGAACUGCAGAACCAGAACCACAGCUUUCUGGUUAGGAAACGGUCACACCAUAGCUAAAUUGAUGCCCAUGGUGUCUUAUCAUACAACCAGUCGUAGGAAAUCUUGAUGGCAUGUUCUGCAGAAUUUUUUAACUGACAGAAAAUUAUAUGUGAUUUUUGUCUACUAAUUGAUCAUAGCUAAGAAUUUAACUUGUCUGCUUUAAGAAUUGCCUAAAUUAUUUAUUCAGUCCUCGUUUUAUUAUAAAAAUAAUUAGUUAGUCCAUCUGAUUAAAAAAAGACAAUAUUAUAUCCCCAUGUUUUCAUUUCCAUGAUAUUUUAAUCUGUUCCCUAAGUGUUUGUUAAUUAAGUGCUGAGAUGUCACCAAUUUAACUCUUUUUUGUCCUCAAAUAUCCCCUUUUGAAUUAAAAUAAAUUUAUAAAACUCAAUUUAAAAUCAAACUCCUCAAAAUUUAGUUCAUGGAUUAAAUGAGUUGACUCAUAUCAAUUUAAUUUUUUAAAAAAAAAAACCUUGAAGUGAAGUUGUUUUGAGCUUUAAAAUAAUAAUAAUAAUAAUAAUAUUGUUUUAAAAAAAUCUCUAAGUUAAGCCUCAAGUUAGCAAUUUAUAAAAUUGACCUAGGCCGAGCAAAAAUUAUAACUACGAAUUUUUCCAUUUUUAACAUGCAUGUGAUUGUUGCCUCGUGGAGCUGUUCAUAUUCCUUGACGGCUGGACCGGCAAGGUACCAGACAAAAACAUACAAUAACAGAGGAUUUGUAAAAUAAAUGUCCGAGACUCUCCUGGCAUAUUUUUACCUUAGCUUGCAUGGAUAUUCAGAGUCUAAUCAACAUAAUAGAAAUUACAGGGAGCCUUUGGUAAUUAAAAUAUGGGGAAAAAUAAGGAAGGAUAACACCAGGAAAUUCACAAGGUGAUGCAGAAAUGGAGUCCACAUCAGAGACUUGGUCUUUCUGCAGAUGUCAUUUUCUUCUUUGUUCUUUUUCCUGGAAUAAUCUAUCAGAUGAAACUUCAAAUUCCCACCUCCUGUUUUCGUCUGAUUUGACUUUAGGUGGCAUCUAUGAAAUUAAUUUUAAAUAAUUCACACGUUUAUUCUAGGAAUAGACAUCUCUUUGAGAUACAUGUAAAUCUUCUGGUGGUCAGUGUGGUUACAACAAGACCACUACAGCAUUCACUUGUUACUGUGCGGAUCAACCUCGAGAUUUUGAAUGCUCAGCAACACCACAGGCACCUAGUCAAUCAACAAGUAUGUCCUCUUUUCUUUCUUGAUAAUUGCUAUGAUUGGAUAGAUAGAGAUAGCUGAAAUCUAAGACAUGCCCUCCAGGCUAGGUGAUGUAGGAACCUAGCUAGCUAUUGAGAAUUGUUCAAAGCUCCAUGAUCCUGAAGAGAACACCUUCCUUGACCAUUUAAUUCCAGUAUAUAUCAAGGAAACGAAGACUUCGAUUAACUGACAAAGACUUUAUAACAUGAAAAUAAAGGUUGCCCCUUGUCACAAGGAGCAAUCCUUAAAGUAUUCCCUUUCAUUUCCAUGAUAUUUUACAGGGAAUAUUAGGUCGUUAAAAAAUGGGGAAGAUACACAUAAUAUAUCUAGAGUCGAGUCAAGUGAGGCUUCGUCUGAAACCCAAUGUCACACAAUCAGUUUCAAUAAACCUCUUAAAAAAUAAAUUAUAAAAAAUUAUAAAAUUUAAUUUUCAAUAAAUAUAAUUUUAAAAGAUAUAAUUAAAAUUAUAAAAAAUAUAUUAUUUAAAUAAAUAAUAUUUUGUAAAAAAAGAUACAGUAAAAUUACCUUUUCUUUUAGUCAAGUCAAGCGAGGCUUCCUCUCAAGUCUCAAUCACUGAAACCCAAUGUCACGCAAUCAAUUUCAACCUUCUAUUUAAUUUAAUUUCUAUACAUUUAUUUCUUUGUUUGCUAGCCCAGUCCAUACUCGAAGUGCGUUUUUUAAUUUGUCAUAGCACCCCAAUUUGAUGUUACAUCCCUGCAAGCGAUCGCCUGUGGGAUAUCACAGUACAUUUUACGUACAUGACCGUAGCUUUAAAACAAAUAAUUCAAUUUUUUCGGGCUUUUUAGUCCAAAGGAUUUCUCAAACUAAUCUACAAUUUUCUCAGUAAUUGUUAAUUAUAAAUACAAGUUUGGUAGUUGGAGGAGGGCAUGCAAUAGUUAUUAAUUAGUUUCUUUGGAUCGGAUAAAAAUGUUUUUAAAUAUAAAAAAAUUUCUCAAGCCAUAUUGAAGUCACAUUGUUACCGGUGUGGUUGGGGUUUUUUUUUUUUCUAAUUUUUUUUUUUUACUUUUUUGUCAAGUCCAUAAGUUAGAAUGAAAUUAUUCUUUAUUAUUAGGUUGAUGAUAAAUUUUUUUAUAUUUUUAUCAUAAAAUAAAAUAAAAAAAUAAAUUAAUUAAAUCAAGUUCAUAAUCUUGAUCAUGAGUUUGACACGUUGACUAAAUAUUAAUAAAAAAGUCGGGGUUUGGGUUUUUUGGCAUAUUUUUAUAUAUCUUUGGGUUUUUUUUUGCCAAUUCUAUUAUUUAAUGUGGGGUUUUUAUUGAAUUUUAUCAUUUAAUAUUGGAUUAAUAAUAAAUUAAUCUUAGUAUUUUCAAUAUAAUAAAAUAAAAAUUAAUUCGACCCAAUGAAUUCCAUAACCCAGGUUACAGAGUUGACAAGUUGACUAAAUUUCAAUAAAAAAAUUUAGAUAGGAAUUUUUUCAAGUUUAAAUUAUUAUGCCGAAUUUAAUCAAAAUACCACAAAGUUUUGAGCAAUCUAAAUAUGGUUUCUAAAGUUUCAAAAAAUUUGUGUUUAACCUACAGCGAAAGUGCAGGUGGAAAAACUAGUAGUAAUCAAAUCGAUGUAGCAUGGUUCUUUUUUUAGCUUUAUGUCUCAUUUUGUAUGUAAAUUAAAACUUGCAAUCUCAUGUAAUAUUUAAACUUUAUGCUUUAUAAAAAAAAAUGAGCUUUUUAUUUUUUAAGGAUGUAAUUUGAUUAUAAUUGAAGUGAGGGGAGGAGAAGUAUAUAUUUUGACAUUAAAAUAUAAUAUCAUCAACUUUAAUGUAGUUUUAGUUUGAAAGUACAAGGUUACAUAUUAAUAAUUCAGCCUCUAAAUGAAUAUAUUGUGUCAUAUAAUGCCAUAUAACAUAAAUCUAAUAAUUACAUUUCCUAUAAAAUACGCAAUCUUCAUUCCAACAAUUAACGCAGUCCCAACGUGAACUCCCUAACAUUAUUUGAUGUCCUGUUACAGGAUCUUCAUGGAGUCGUAGGCGACUACAUAGUGCUAUAGGUAAAUAUUAUCAUAAGAAAUCCUUUUUUUCGUUUGAUGAUGAUGGUAUUGAUGAUGAUGCAUCUUAAAUUACAGGCAUAUCAGCAGCUAUGGCAGCGAUAAUAACUUUUUUCAUAAUUACAAUAUGUCUCACUAGAAGAAAAGGUUCAUUUAGUGCCGUCAUAGCAAAGAUCUUCAGGUCGAAGAAUUCGCAGCAUGUUGACAGUGUUGAAACAUUUAUGAUGGACAACCAUUCUCUUACUCCGAAGCGUUAUUCAUAUUCAGAUAUCAAGAAAAUGACCAGCUCAUUCGUCAAUAUACUAGGUCAGGGGGAUUUGGUUAUGUAUACAGAGGAAAGUUACCAACGGUCGUCUCGUGGCUGUAAAAGUUCUAAAAGAGUCCAAAGGUGACGGAGAAGAGUUCAUGAAUGAAGUUGCAAGCAUCAGUAGAACUUCCCACGUGAAUGUAGUUACCCUUUUGGGCUUUUGCUACGAGAGGAAUAAAAGAGCUUUGAUUUAUGAAUUCAUGCCCAAUGGAUCUCUAGAUAGCUUUAUAUUUGAUAAAGGAUUCCCUCAUGCAAACUGUCGUUUAGAAUGGAAAAAAUUAUAUGAAAUUGCAGUUGGUAUUGCUAGAGGUUUGGAGUACUUGCAUAGAGGGUGUAACACUCGGAUCGUGCAUUUUGACAUAAAGCCUCACAACAUUCUUCUUGAUGAAGAAUUUUGUCCAAAGAUCUCAGAUUUUGGUCUCGCGAAGCUAUGCCAGAGCAAAGUAAGUAAGAUUUCGAUGAUAGGUGCACGGGGGACUGUUGGUUACAUAGCACCUGAAGUAUUCUGCAGAUCUUUUGGAGGAGUAACUUACAAGUCCGAUGUGUAUAGUUAUGGAAUGAUGGUUCUUGACAUGGUCGGACAAAGUAAAGACUUUGAUAUGGGAUCGUUGGAAACCAACGAGAUGUAUUUCCCGGAUUGGUUUUAUAUGUAUCUUGAACCAGGAAAGAUUUCAACACUUCAUGGAGGUACAACGAAAGAGGAAGAAGAGAUUGUUGAAAAGAUGAUCUUAGUGGGUUUGUGGUGCAUCCAAACCAUUCCAUCACAUAGACCAUCAAUGACAAAGGUGGUAGAGAUGUUUGAAGGCAGUCUUCAAUCUUUGCAAAUUCCACCGAGACCUUCCUUUUCUUCUCCUAGAAGGUCCGCUCAAGAGCACUCUUCCGCUGUAUCAUCACUGCUUGGCGUGUCGUCGCAGGGAGAUGAGGUAAACAGAUUGCCUGCUGAUUAAAGUGACUUGUAACUGGAAACUGAAAACUUUAUGUUGCCUGAUAAAAUUAAUAAAACCGGUAUUUGUUCUUCAUCUAAGAGCUGCUAUAGGCUGAACUAUUUCGACUUUGAUAUAACUCAUGUACGAGAGGACACUCGCUGAGUGCUGGCAAGAAAGACUACGCUCUCACCUUCUCUCUCUCUCUCUCUUUUGUCAAUGAUGUAAACCAAUUCUAGUUUGUACUUGAUGUUCAAUAUGUGGGAGGUGCAGAAUUGAUCUGUUAUUUCUUGAUUGUCAUUGUUUACAAUUUCAAAGUUUAGACAAGACUCAGAGGUUGAGCUUAUUAUUACUUAUGGUUAAUGUCAUUGAGGCUUCAUUACUCAGAUGUUCAAUAUAUUUCUUACUGGUGUUCGUAUUUUGAUUGAGCAGCUGAAUUAAAAUCAAAUCAGGAAAGUUAACAUAAAUCUUCUACUCUUCGUCAAUAAGUUUCCUGUUGACAUUCUUGUGAAGAACCGAUACCUGUGUAUGUUUGUAGGGAGCACAGAGGGGAGGUCUUCAAAGGCUUUUGAAGAUCUUUCUGCUGUGCCAAUUGGGGUCAAAAUAGUCGUUCCACGAUGAAGUCAAUUUGAGCUUUCAGAAUGCGUAACAACCAACCAAUCUUCCCUUGGUAACAUACUAACAUUAAUGCCAAUCUAAGCAGCUUCUUGGGAUGUGUAGAACUAGUGUUCUUUUCCCGGCAUCUCAACCAGCUGCUCUGCGUAUAGGCAGCAACACUACUGAACCAUAUGUGAUCUAAGUGUUUAAUCAAGGUUUAUUGUGCCAACAUGAUAUCAACUUUGCCAAAAAUCAUCAUCAUGUUUUUAUAGUUCUGCUCUUCUUCUUUUUUCGUGAAUGAGUGAUUUCAUUUAUCGAAGAUGAAAUGGAAGAAACCAAACCCUGCUUACAAGGCUUCAGGGAAAACGAAAACAAAAGGAAGGGAGGCUGUAAAAUCACUUUACAGAUGACCGUUCCUUUUCACCUGCUCCUGACAGCAAAUUAAAUACGGUCAAGAAGCUUGCUGGCAGUAGAAUAUAAUUCAGUAUGAUUCAAGUUAUUUUUUAAUUAUUAUUUUUAAAUGUUAUCCUUUUAUGUUGGAUUAAUUAGAAAUUAAAUUUUAUAAUUUAUUACAAUUUAUUUUUUAUUGAGUUAUUAUAGUCUCAUGACCAGGAUUAUAGUUUAGCUGGUUAACCCGAAUUGAUUAAAAUCAAUCCAAUAUGUGUUAUCUUAAUAUUUUUUAAAAAACAAAUAGGUGUUAUCUGAAAAAAAAUUUUAAAAAUAUUCUUUAAAAAAAAAUUAAUCAAAUUAUUUUUUAUCAAUAAACUUGUUGUUUUUAAACACUCCAAAUUAAUGCGAUUACAUUAAAUCAAUCCUCGCAAGCAUUACAUAUUAGUUUUUUGCGGAAGUUAAUGUGAAAUUACCGAGUGGUGACGAAUUAUAUAAAAUGUAUUGAAAUGACUAAUUGUCAGGUUGUUUGGUAUUAAAUUAAUAUAUAUUUUUUAUAAUUUUAAUAUACUAAUAUAAAAAUAAAAUUAUUCAAUACAUUUGAAAUAAAAAAUACUCUUAAAAAUCAUUUUUCCUCGUAAUUCUAAACAAAACCUAAAAAUGAAGGUUUUGCUGGUCGGUUGUUUAGCUUUUAAAAACAUAAAAUCAGAGCAUUGAAAUCAGGAUUGGUUUUGGAUUCGUUUAAUAGCCUCAAUAACACUCUGGCCAAAAGUGCUUCUCCAAAUGACAGAACGUCUACACACUCCACACCAUCUUAAGUGCUUCUACCUGGUCCCAGCUCAACUUCUCCCUCAGCUCUGGCCCGUCUUAGACAUGCCUCCCCAAGAUAUGAGCUCUCCACGUCUCCUCUCUAAAUGUAAAAAAAUAAAUGGCAACUUCACAUAUGAUAUUACUAGUACGUUAGUUUUCAAAAAUAUAAAAAAAUGUUAAGGGUAUAAAUAAAUUUUUAACCAUUUAUUAAAUCUAUACAAUGGAUCAAUAUUAAAAUCUCACGAUAUAUUUGUCUUACUCGAUUUCCAACUAAAUAACAUAAACUAAUUGAUUCCAUGAUUUAAAUGCAAUAUUAAAGAUGAUAAAAACACGACUUAAUUUUUUUUAAAAAAAAUUCAAGAUAAUAAUUUUUUUAAAAAAAAAUUAUUUAGACAAUAAUAGAUUGAGUCGAUAUCAGUCUCCCAAUGACCCGUGUCAUAGACUUUAUUAAGUUCAAUAAUGUUUUUUAUAAACUAUUUGUUUUAAUUAUAUAAUAAGAAUAUAUGGUUAUAAAAUUAAGCAUACCCUAAAAAUAAAAACUUAUUUGAGAUAUUGAUAACUCUAUAAAAGACAAACAAAAAUAAAUCAUUUAAUUUAUUUCCAACCAAUCUAAUAUUAAAAUAAUAGUUAAACUCGUCAAAUCUAUGAAUCUAGAAUACACCCUAAUAACCAUGUUAAAUCAAUCCUUAACCUUAAAAGUGCAAAAAACCACUUCAAAAUCCAAAAUCAACUUGGAACCUAGUUUCUUUCCGAGCUUGGAUUUAUUUUUGUAAGCACUAUCAAGGUUAAAAAAAAAAACAUGUUUCAAACUCUAUCCAUUGUAUGGAACCAUUUGGAACAAAAAUCUAUCAUUUUGGUGGUCAAAUCGUAAAAACGACAUCUCUCUCGUUCUAGGUCAAAUUCGGGCAAUUCCUUUUCUCUUUUCUCACCCAAUAAAACUGAAAAAUGAUUAAAAUAAAGUUCAGUAUCAAAAUUAUUUUUUAUAGAAUUAGAGAACCGGUCACAUAAUAGUUAAAAAAACAGGUGACUCAAAUGUAUUUUUCAAACAAAAUUAAAAGGCACUAUCUAUUUUACCCAUGCUUUUCAUUUAGUCAUCUAGCUUUCAAUUCAAUUUCUCUUUAAAAAACAUGCAAUUGGGUACUAAUGUGGGUUUAAAAGGGUUCAAUCGUAAAAAUAAAAAAAGUUUAAUCAUCAAAUUAAAAUUUUUAAACAAAUCAUUACUCAUAUCCAUAGUGAUAUGUGAAAUGAUAAAUAAUGAUUUUAAACAGUGAAAAUUUCACACCUUUCUUAUAAUUUGGCAAUAAAAGUAUACAUACUCAAGCAAAAGACUACAUGUAUAAAUAUGAGUGAUAGGAACAGCUACACACACUAAAUACACAUGAUAAUUAUGGUACAGAAAUGUUUGUUGUUUAUAUAAUUUUUAUUUUUUCUUAUUUUUUAAAAUUUUUUUCCUUGUAUCACUGUCUGUAUUUUCAUAAUUAGAGCUGGUGGCGAUGAGUUUCUUCAGACAGACCAUGAAACGAAAUCUUGUAUAGGAAGAAGAACAUGUUACAAGUUUUUAUCAUGUUAAAAAGCUAAUAUUUUCAUUCGAGACCAUGCGAACCACGAUUUGGUGGCUUUUCAAAAUACAAUCUCACCAAGAAAUUGAAAAAAUUAUAUAAAUUAUCUUAACGUAAAAAAAAUUAAAAAAGUUACCUGCUUACUUAAUACCUUGUUGGAAAUGGGGAUGCUGUGCGGCGCCAUGUCCACGUGGACCUGUCUGGCUCCCUAUACCUAGGAAGUCCAAUUAAAUUAACAACUAAAUCCUAAGGUUUGUAUAUAAAUAGCUAGCAAAAUUCAACAAAAUUUCUUAUCCUUCCACGUUCUAAACCAUCAUGUCUCCUGAUCUCUCUGUUAGACUCCCUCGUGUUCUCAUCGUCUCUAGACGCAGCCUCCGCAAAAACAAAUUUGUAGAUUUUGUUGGUACGUUUUCGUUGUUUGAUCAUUCUUGAUCUGUUCAUAUGAUGACUAGCAUUGCUAAUAUUUUGUUUUCCAGGUGAAUAUCAUCUUGAUCUUCUAGUUGGCUACGGUGCAGUACCGGUUAUCGUUCCCCGUGUUAGUGGGUUGCACAUGUUGUUAGAUAGUUUUGAGCCUAUCCAUGGUGUUCUUCUUUGUGAAGGAGAAGAUGUUGAUCCAUCCUUAUAUGAAGCUGAGACAUCUAAUCUUUCACGAGAAGAAUUAGAAGAAAUCAGGAGGAUUCAUGCAAGUGAUACAGCUAUUGAUAGAGAGAAGGAUUCGAUUGAGUUGAGGCUUGCAAAACUCUGCCUUGAAAGAAACAUACCUUAUCUGGGGAUUUGCAGAGGAUCUCAAGUUCUGAAUGUUGCUUCUGGGGGUACCCUUUAUCAGGACAUUGAAAAGGCGGUUUCAAAGAAGAUUCAGGUGUCUCAAAGAGUGUUGCACAUGGAUUAUGAUAAUUAUGAUGGGCAUAGACAUGUGGUUAAGGUGGUAGAGAACACCCCUUUGCAUGACUGGUUUAGGGAUUCUCUGGAAGAAGAUAAAAUGGAGAUUUUGGUUAAUAGUUAUCACCACCAGGGGGUGAAUAGUUAGCACAAAGAUUUGUGCCAUGGCGUUCGCACCAGAUGGAUUGAUUGAGGGGUUUUAUGAUCCUGAUGCUUUAAUCCUGAAGAGGGUAAGUUCAUAAUGGGACUUCAAUUCCAUCCAGAGCGAAUGAGGCAGGAUGACACCGACAAGUUUGAUUAUCCAGGAUGCCCAAGGGCCUAUCAGGUUUUAUACCCCUCCUUUACAUACGAUCUUUUAUGGGAAAAUUUGAUGAAAUAAUGUAUAAUUGAUAUGUUCAUGGUAUUGUGCAGGAAUUUGUCAAGGCUGUGAUUGCUUAUCAGAAGAAGCUCAACAGUAGUACUGCAUCUGUGCCAAGGCCUCUCAAGCUAGAUCAAGCAAUGGAGAAGAAAAGGAAGAAAUAUAGUUAGAAGUUUCUUCUUGCAAGAAACAUAUACACUGCUGGCCAAAGAAUGAAUCCAUCAAAGGAAUCAGAACUACAAGCUGGAGCAGAAUUCCUAGAGGUAUAACUUUAGAUAGAUGAUAAAGAGUCCAUAUUCACUAUUCACAAAAUGCUUGAACAUUGUCUCAGGUUCAUAGAUUUUGUUUUCAGGCCUUUGAUCUUGUGUCGUUAAUGAUCAUUUUAUCCAUGCAGCCAGCACAGCUCUGAGCUUACAACAAGAGAACAGAUUGAAGCAGAUGGGUGCAACAGUGAGGAAUGCAGGUUCCUACAUUGAAAGACUGAGGAUGAAUGAGGAGAGGGAAGAUUUGGCAAAAAAUGUGACGGGAAAAAUGUCUGUAGAGCAGUUGUCUGACUUGUUGUCUUUCUACCAUAUGAUGGGACAGAUUUGCUCAGAAGUUUUAGAUAGAAAGCUGAAUGGCAUUGUCCAUGGCAUCGGUUCUUGAUAGAUGGUUUUUCUUGCUUUCUCGUUGAUGUAUCAUGUUAACACAAUAAUAAUCUGAAGUCACGGGAAACUUGGGUAAGCAGUUCCUGUUUUUCCCGUAUUUGACUUUCGUUGUUUCUUUCACAUGUGAUUCUAAACCAUAGCCACUGCUUUCCUGUGAAAAUAGAACUGGAAGAGGAAGGGAGUAAUUAAAAGAAAUUUGCUGCUCACAAAUCUUGACAACAUGCUCUUAGGCGUAUGGAGACUCUCCAACGCAAAUUUCUCCAACAACAAGCCCUUUAUCUUCUUAUACUAAAACCUUUCAAUUCACUUCACUAGUGAGUCGUUCAGUGUUUAUCUGACUUUUCAGCCUCAGAAAAGGUAGCCUGUUCAUCAAAAAAUGCAUGUCAUCUUCGGCGAUAAUCAUGCUGAAGCAAAAAGGAAAGGAAAAAAAUGAAGGUAGCAGACAUGCAUUAAUUACUUAACUAAAUAAGUAUUAUUAUAAUAUUAACUUGAAACAAAAUUCAGACAUGAAUUAGCACUAUAAUUUUUCUGUAUUAAUGGAGUACGGUAGAAAGUAAUUCUCAAAGUAUUUUUUGUUUAAAAUUAUAUUAAAAUGAUAUAUUUUAUUUUUAAAAAAUUUAUUUUUAGCAUUGAGAUCUGAAAUUAUUAAAAAAAUUAAAUUUAAUAAAAAAAAAAACAAGUUAAACCUUCCUGAACUUUGGGUUGAAGAAAUGCACAAGAAGCCUCCAGACUGGAAGAAAUAAGCAGCCCUGCACUACAAGAAAGGCCCGGAAAUAGUUGGAGCACAAACCAUCCAUCAAAAUAAAAUACAAGAAUUGAACUACAGCCCAGCAAUAACAAGUAGUAAAUCCCAGAAAAUAGUUAUGAUCCAAUAUCAUCAAUUCACAAAAUUGCAGGAUUGGAUUCUAUAAAAGCCCAAAAUCCACAUCCGAUUAUCUACUUGACUGGAAUUUCGUGUUAGAAAGCACCAAGUUACUUGAACCACGGGCAAUCUUCUUCUUCCAGUGUGAUUUAUAGCCAAAGAUAUCAGCUUUGACCUGGCUAAAACAGAGACAAAAAAGAAUCCAUGGACAACGACAGCUAAAUUACUAUAUUUAAUGACUUUAACAGGUAAUGCAAUUGUGAAGCAUUCUAGUCAACAAGUCGUUUUGCAUGCCGUGUGCGUCAUUAUGUUGAUGGACUUUCCCGGCAGAUGACUGAAGAAACGCGUUUUUCUCAUCUCCAUCAUUUGAUUUGAAGUUCAGAUCUUGACGCUGGGCUCCCACCAUGGAAAUAUUGCACCGCUCCUUUCCCUACGAAAUCCUUGUGAAGUGUUUGACGGGGAGUAGACAAUCUGUAAGCAUCCUGAAAUUGUAAGAACGCGGGUUCAAACUUAAUCCUAGUAAGAUUUAUAACUAUAAUUCAACCAACUAAGACAUUGAUUCGGUUAAGCAAUGUCUAGGUUGAUUUUUUUUUUUUUAAAUAAUCAAUUAAAAAACUAUUCGAGUUAACUUGGGUUAACCCGCUAAAUUCAUGAUUCGAGUUAUGAGAUGAGGAUAAUUUUAUAAAAAAAACAAGUUAAAAUAAAUCAUAAAGCUUAAUUAUCAAAUAAUUUAAUGUUGAAGGAUGAAAUAUAUAUAUAUAAAAUUAAUUAAAAAAAAAAACUUGAAUCAAGUUAACCCAUCAGACUUACAUGCAUAUAUCAUGAGAAUAUGAUAACUUAGAAAAAUAAAUUAAAAAAAUUAUGAAACUUAAUUCUCAAUAAACCUAAUAUUAAAGAAUAAAAUUUAAAUUAAAAAAAAAAACAAAUCAAAUUAAUCCAUCAAACCUCUAACCUGAAAAAAUAAAUCAUGAAAUAUAACUUUUUAAAUCAUUCAAAUAUUAAGAGGUAGAAUAGAAAUUAAUUAGAAAAGCAAAAAAUAAAUGAAAAAUACUAUUCAAAUAAAUAAUAUUUUAUAAAAAAAUAUAAUAAAAUUCCUUUUUCUAUUAGUGAAGUCAAGUGAGUCCUCGUCUCUAUCACUGAAACCCAAUGUCACGCAAUCGGUUUCAACUUUCAACCUUCCAUUUAAUUUAAUUUAAUUUAAUUUCUCCGUCACUAUCCCAGUCCAUACUCAAAGUGCGUUUUUUAUUUGUCAUAGCACUCCAAUUUGAUGUCCCAUUCCUGGAAGCUGUAGCAUGUGCGCUAUCACAGUCCAAUUUUUCUAAUAUACAACAUUUUACUGACAUGACCAUGCCUUUAAAACAAAUAAUUCAAUUUUACCGAUUUUUUUUUUACUCCGAAAGGUUUUCUCAAACUAAUCUACAAUUUUCUCAGUAAUUGUUAAUUAUAAAUACAAGUUUGACAGUUGGAGAAGGGCUUGUAAUAGUUAUUAACUAGUUUUUUUUGGAUCAAAUAAAAACAAUUCACUUAAUUUUUUUAAUCCAUCGUUAAAUUUGAUUUAAUAAGACCCGAUUUGAUGUUAUUAUCAUCAACCACAUAUAUACUUUUCCAAACUAUGCGAGGAUUUUUUUUGCGUGUCCUUCAAUAUAUUUGACCGAUUCUGUUCUCUUCUUUUAGUCCCCAAGACAGUGAUGCAUCAUAGCAUACGAAGACUUCAUUUUGCAAAUAGAGGCCUCGUAGAAAGAAAUUAAUGUGGUAGCCCUUUCCCAAGAAACAAAUAAAUUAAAAACUUUGAGUCCACCAAGCAUUUAAAUCCAAGUAUUGCGUUCACAUCUAUCCCUUUGUGAUGUAUUUAUUUACCUGAAAUUGAUAAUUAGCACGUCAAGACUCAUCUCUUUAUCCUUGAAACAACCAAGCCCAUUUUGCUAACACACAAUUCCAUUUCUCCUAUGCUACUUCCUCUUGCCAGAAUGAAUUCCUCGGCCUUUUCUUUUCUUUCAGAUUUUGUUCUUGUAUUGUUGCUCUUCAUUCAAGUCCCUUCAUCCUCGAGCAACGAUGACCUGCUCAGUACUGCCUGUAGUAAAAAGUUUGUGUGUGGGAAUAUUUCCAUGGAUUUUCCGUUUUGGGGAACUGACAGGUCAUCUGCCUGUGGCGUUCCAGAUUUUAAGCUCAGGUGUGAGAAUAAUACUGCCAAGAUGAGUAUCAGUCAGGUUGCAUAUCGGGUUUUGGAAAUCAAUCAGGAUAAUGGAAUUCUCAGGAUUGCAAGAGAGGACUACUUUGUUGGAUUGUGUCCACCUCAAUUUAGGAACAGCACGUUCAAUCCUAAGGUUUUCGAGUAUGUUGAGGGUUACAAAAAUAUGACAUUCAUUUAUGGUUGCAAGGAUGCUCCUGAUCCAACCAUACCUGGUACAAUACCUAGUAUACAUUUCACUUGCAAAAUAAAUGAGGUUAAUGAUCAAGGUGGUUAUAUCCAAGUAGGAGAUAAUGGUCCAGGGGAAUGCUAUCAUAGUGUCUUUGUGCCAGUUUCUGUAACAGAUUGGCAACCAUUCGGGAAUAUGCAAGCUUUUGAUUGGUCACAAUUCGGGAAUAUGCAAGCUUUUGAUUGGUCACAAUUCGGGAAUAUGCGAGCUUGGGAAGAACUCUUGAAAAAAGGAUUCGAGGUAAGAUGGAAGGUCGAUGGGGAGGCGUGUUGGGAAUGCUCAACCUCUUCAGGUAUGUACCUCAACUUCUCCUCGAAUCAGUUUAUGGUGAACUCCAGUCACUUGUUGAUGCUGCACACACCUUAAUUAGUUCCGUUCCUGUUUUGUUAUUUUAGUUUUAUUUUAAAUAGACUUGGACAGAAGUAAACAUCAAUAUGAUGAUGAUAUUGAUCUCUUAGAACCACUUGAAUAGUCGACUAUUAGGGUGGCUCGAACUGCAGAACCAGAACCACAGCUUUCUGGUUAGGAAACGGUCACACCAUAGCUAAAUUGAUGCCCAUGGUGUCUUAUCAUACAACCAGUCGUAGGAAAUCUUGAUGGCAUGUUCUGCAGAAUUUUUUAACUGACAGAAAAUUAUAUGUGAUUUUUGUCUACUAAUUGAUCAUAGCUAAGAAUUUAACUUGUCUGCUUUAAGAAUUGCCUAAAUUAUUUAUUCAGUCCUCGUUUUAUUAUAAAAAUAAUUAGUUAGUCCAUCUGAUUAAAAAAAGACAAUAUUAUAUCCCCAUGUUUUCAUUUCCAUGAUAUUUUAAUCUGUUCCCUAAGUGUUUGUUAAUUAAGUGCUGAGAUGUCACCAAUUUAACUCUUUUUUGUCCUCAAAUAUCCCCUUUUGAAUUAAAAUAAAUUUAUAAAACUCAAUUUAAAAUCAAACUCCUCAAAAUUUAGUUCAUGGAUUAAAUGAGUUGACUCAUAUCAAUUUAAUUUUUUAAAAAAAAAAAACCUUGAAGUGAAGUUGUUUUGAGCUUUAAAAUAAUAAUAAUAAUAAUAAUAUUGUUUUAAAAAAAUCUCUAAGUUAAGCCUCAAGUUAGCAAUUUAUAAAAUUGACCUAGGCCGAGCAAAAAUUAUAACUACGAAUUUUUCCAUUUUUAACAUGCAUGUGAUUGUUGCCUCGUGGAGCUGUUCAUAUUCCUUGACGGCUGGACCGGCAAGGUACCAGACAAAAACAUACAAUAACAGAGGAUUUGUAAAAUAAAUGUCCGAGACUCUCCUGGCAUAUUUUUACCUUAGCUUGCAUGGAUAUUCAGAGUCUAAUCAACAUAAUAGAAAUUACAGGGAGCCUUUGGUAAUUAAAAUAUGGGGAAAAAUAAGGAAGGAUAACACCAGGAAAUUCACAAGGUGAUGCAGAAAUGGAGUCCACAUCAGAGACUUGGUCUUUCUGCAGAUGUCAUUUUCUUCUUUGUUCUUUUUCCUGGAAUAAUCUAUCAGAUGAAACUUCAAAUUCCCACCUCCUGUUUUCGUCUGAUUUGACUUUAGGUGGCAUCUAUGAAAUUAAUUUUAAAUAAUUCACACGUUUAUUCUAGGAAUAGACAUCUCUUUGAGAUACAUGUAAAUCUUCUGGUGGUCAGUGUGGUUACAACAAGACCACUACAGCAUUCACUUGUUACUGUGCGGAUCAACCUCGAGAUUUUGAAUGCUCAUCAUCACCACAGGCACCUAGUCAAUCAACAAGUAUGUCCUCUUUUCUUUCUUGACGCCAUGAUUGGAUAGAUAGAGAUAGCUGAAAUCUAAGAUAUGCCCUCCAGGCUAGGUGAUGUAGGAGGACCUCUGGUAAAAGAAACAAGUGUGAAUCGUUCCUUUGAGCAGAGGGAGGAACCUAGCUAGCUAUUAGGAAUUGUUCAAAGCUCCAUGAUCCUGAAGAGAACACCUUCCUUGACCAUUUAAUUGACAGAUUGUAUAACAUGAAAAUACAGGUAUCACAAGGAGCAAUCCUUAAAGUAUUCCCAACCUAGUAUGUGUCGAGAUAUAUUAUUUCUUUAGCAGUAGCAGGAGCAAGAGACUGUCUAAUGAAAUUACUCUCAGUUAAUUUAGAAUUGCUAAAUACUCUUCAUCCCCACCAGUUCAGGUUCCUCGUUUAGUGACAUGAAAUUUUUCCAGGUUUCUUGUUUGGUGAAAUGCAACUAGCCAUCCUACUCUUCUAAGUAGUCAAGGAACAAAAUUAUGUUUCAGAUAUUGUAACUUCUACUGCAUAUUUGAGUAAGGUCAGGUUUUACCCUGUCAUAUUUUGGUCUUCGAUAAUUUCCAAGCAAAUGCUUCAAUAAUUUCAAGAAUCGAUGUUUGAACUACUUUCAGAGGCUUACAAGUCCACUGGUUUUUGUUUAGUGUUAAUGAGUAAUUAAUUGUAGCAAUUCGAGUUUAUUGGUUAAGAGGUUCAAUGUUCGAAAUUAGGCUUUUUUCUUCAGUCUUGUGUUGACUGUGACCCUAAGAAAGUUGGAGCUCUAUGUGGUGAUAGUUUGAAUACACAAUAUGAUUCACAUCUUGUUCAUGAGAUGUUAAUUAAAUCUAAGUUAAUCUCUGGGAGUUUGUUUGUUCGUUUUUUUUUUUUUUUUGCAGCCAUUGAUACUUAUUUCUUUAGUAGUUGUGUUUAGUGAUAGGGAAAUUGAACAAUUCAAUUACUCAUAGUUUGAUUCCCCUGUUUUCUCUGUUUUUUGCAAUGCCUCUCUGCGAUUUAUUUUCGCAACGGAGAACCUGCUUCCCUUAAUGUUCCAGUUUCUUUAGGACAGUAGCUUGUAUGUCUAUAAUCUGAAUGAAGACAUGAAUUAUUUUGUGUUCAACAAAUAAUAAUUAAGAUAGCCACUAUCAUAUUUCAAGUUCAGUCCAAUUGACCAUGCUUACCAAGUGCCUACUGCCUACUGAAAACUUGCUUCAAUGUGGUCAUUAAUGUUUCUGGCUUUCAUGAUUUUUUUGCAGGGUCAAAACGUGCACUGAAAAUAGGUAUAAUUCUGCUACACAGACUUUAUAAAAUCAACACCAAAAAUACAUGCAGAGCAUUUUGGUUUAUUUAUUUAUUUUCAUUUCCAGGGCUUGGCUCAGCAGUUGCUGUUGUUGGUGCCUUUUUGGGAUGCGGGAUCAUGGCCUUUAUACAACGGAAGAGAAGAAAAGCUGCCCUAGAGAGAACCGUAGAACUUCCUAUAGCAACUCCUUCAAGCAAAGGCCUUGCCACCUCAACUAAUCUCUCUCAAACCACCCCUUCUCUUACCUCCUUAAAGUCUGACAUUGAUAAGGGUAGUACCUACUUUGGAGUUCGGGUUUUCAGCUAUGAUGAACUUGAGGAAGCAACCAACUUUUUUGAUUCUUCAAGAGAACUUGGAGAUGGAGGGUUUGGCAUUGUUUAUUAUGGUUAGAAGAUGAAAUGAUUUCAUUUUGCAGUAUAGGAACUUGCAUCCAUUAACUGCUUUGUUGACUCUUUAUAAAUUUCUAUUGCUAUUGCUUGUUUUAUCAGGUGUACUCAGGGAUGCGCAUGAGGUUGCCGUCAAGCGCCUAUAUGAGAACAACAUGAAACGUACUGAGCAGUUUAUGAAUGAAAUUGAGAUCCUAGCCCAUUUACAACACCGGAAUCUGGUGAAACUUCACGGAUGUACCUCGAGGCACAGCCGGGAGCUUCUACUCGUUUAUGAAUACAUUCCUAAUGGAACUGUUGCUGAUCAUCUUCAUGGAAGACAGUCAAACUCUCGCUUGCUCACUUUGCCUGUUCGGCUAAGCAUUGCCAUAGAGACAGCCAGUGCGCUGGUGCACCUCCAUGCUUCAGAUGUCAUACAUCGAGAUGUAAAAACCAAUAACAUUCUCCUAGACAAUGACUUCUGUGUCAAAGUGGCUGAUUUUGGUUUGUCCCGAUUGUUCCCAACUAAUGUCACUCAUUUAACGACUGCUCCACAAGGAACACCUGGAUAUGUUGAUCCGGAGUAUUAUCAAUGCUACCAGCUCACGGACAAGAGUGAUGUUUACAGCUUUGGCGUCGUCUUGAUUGAGCUGAUAUCAGCUUUACAAGCAGUGGACACCAAUAGGCGUCGGCACGAUAUUAAUCUGUCCAACAUGGCAGUCAACAAAAUCCAAAAUCAUGCUUUGAAUGAGUUGGUUGAUCCAUUUCUUGGAUUUGAUAAGGAUUUCGUAGUGAGGAGGAUGGUAACAUCAGUUGCAGAGUUAGCUUUCCGGUGUUUGCAACAACAGAGGGAAAUGAGGCCAACUAUGGAAGAAGUGUUGGAGAUAUUGAAAAGAAUUGAGAAUGAAAAUUAUGGAGCAGAAAAGGCAGAUGUAUUGGAUAUUAGUGAGGAUGAUGUUGGGCUAUUGAAGCAUGCUUCUUCUCCACUUCAACUUUCAGCAGACUCAAUGAGUGAUCAAUUCUUGGGAAGCAGUUCUUCCACUAACACACCCCAUUCCUGCUAGCUGUAGAGAUUUCCUUAUCCUUUUAGCUUAAAAUCCGUGAGUAGUAAAUUCAAAGUGUUAUACAAUAAAUGCGUUUGUGAUUCAGUUUUUUUUUUCUUUGUUGGUGUUGUUUUGAUGAAACAAUUUAUGGUUGCCAUGUUUGUGGACUAACAUAAAGCUAAUAUGCAGGAAUUCGCGGUGGCUGAUAUAUACCUAUCAGAAGAAGCUUCAUAGUACAUCUGUACCGAAUCCUCUAAAGCUAGAUCAAGCAAAACUAGAGAAGAACAGGAAAGUUGUUAAUUAGACGUUUCUCACUUUCGAAAGAUAUAUACACUACUGGCAAAGGAAUGAAUCCAUCAAAAGAAUCAGAACUACAAGUUGGGGAGGAAUUUCUUCAGAUUGAUUACCGUUCCAACUUCCAUACAUCACAUUUCACAGGGUGUUAAAAGUUCUGUUUUUUUUCUGGUUUCUGAUCUUAUGUCGUUAAUUAUCAUGUUAUUUAAACAGUCAGACACAGCUUUGAGCCUGCAACAAGAGAAUAGGUUGAAGCAGGUGGGUGUAACAAUGAGGAAUGCAGGCUCUUACAUGGGAAAACUGAAGAUGAACGAGGGGAGGGAAAUUUUGACAAGAUGGGAAACACUUCUGUACAAAAGGUGUCCGAUCUGUCGUCUUUCUACAACAUGAUAGGCUAGACGUUGGUUGUUGAUUGAUAGUUUUCUUCUGUUUUGAGUGUUUAUAUGUAUAUAUAGAAAAUUUGAUGAAGAAAUUUGUGUCUCUCGUCUAAGUUCUACCAUUCAAUUAUUAUGAUUGAAAAAAACAUAAAGCAGAGAGGGUAUUAGUUUUCUAAUAUAUUUCAAAAUGUUAUUUAAAGUUUUUUUCUUAAGUAUAAAAAUAAUAUAUUUUUUUAUUUUUUUAAAUUUAUUUUUUACAUUAACAUAUUAAAAUAAUUUUAAAAAUUUUAAAAAUAAUAAAUUUAACAACAAAAAAUUCAAUCAAGAUUUUUAUAUUCAACUUAAUUGUUCAUAAUAGUUAUAUUUGGUUAAGAUGAUCCUUUUUGGUUUUUAAUUAAAAAAAAUAACUAAGCUAAAUUUGUUUUUUUAAAAUUAAAAGAAAUUAGUUCUGGUUAAUUUUGGUUCGGUUAAUUAAAGUAAAAAACCAGGAAAACCGACCAUAUAUGUGUUGAUUUGACAUAAACUACUGAGUAAUGAAACCAGAGCAAAGAAUGGAAACAUAUCUUUCAUCAAAGAUAUCCAACAAUUCUUUUACACUUCUCUCCAACAAUACAGAUUUACUAAUUGCAUUCAAACAAUAAAAAGGAAAACUUAAGUACAAGAUGCCUCACCAGAUUUGAGGAGAUUAGAUAUAAAAAAUCCCUUCUGCUUUAUAGUUAUGUUUGCUUGUCUGUGUUUUUCUUCUAGAUCUACUAAUGAUUUUUUAGUUUCCUCGAGCUUUUUUUGAAUUUUCAAGGAAGAGAAUAAUAAGCUCAGAUCUUGCUGGUGGAAGCAGAAAAGCAGAAUGAAGAAGGUUUCCUUGUUGACGACCUAAAGUUAACUACCUCAGUUUUAUCAAGUUUCUCACUUAAAUCCGCUGUCAAGUGUAGCUGAGAAUUGUAGAGUUCUUGGAGAAGACGAGAAGUUAGAAACCAGAAAAGGGGAGACGCUGAGAUUGAGAGAAAAAUUGGGGGAGGAACCGGUUGGGUUUUGAUUUGGUCUCGAGGGUUGGAAGAAAAAUUCUUUUAACUUGUUUCGUCAUCAUACCAUAUAAACUUAAUCAGCCAAAAGGAUAUCAAAAUAAGGUUACAGUAGUUACAAACUCGUAUUUACAAUAAAUUAUAUUUAAUUUUUAUAUUUUAUAUUUUAUAUUUUUAUAAUGUGAAAGUAGUGAUGUGUAUAUGGCUUUUUAUUUAUUUAUAGAUUUUCAUUUAAUAAAUUCACACGUGGAGCAACAAUUAGGAUCUUAAAAACUAAAUAAUCUAAAGAUAUAUCAUGAAAUUUGAUUAUUAAAUAUUUAACGUGGCGGUUUACAAUUCAUGAAACUAAACGCAAUAAAAAAACUUUUAAAAAAAAUCAAACAACUAAAUAUUUAAAUAAUAACAAUUAUAUAUAGAGAGUAUAGACAUACACACAUAUAAAGGCUUGUAGGCUGUAGCUAACUAGCUACCAUGAAAACAGGAAUAGACAUCUCUUCUUCCUUUUUAGCGCGUGACCCAGCGACGAUUAAAGUAAGAAAUGAUUUGGUGUAUAAGGGUCUACCAAUAGUGCUAUGAAAUCGCUUGUGUCAAGUGGCCACAUCACCUUCAAUUUAAGCCAAACUCAAAAGUCAGCUCUUAAAAUUCUUGACGAACCUGUUUUCGGUAUUUUGUGAGUUGCGUAAACACGAUUUUCUAGCUAGCUCAUAAGCUCAUCAUCAUUAUUCUAAUAUUAUAUAUUAAAAAAUCAUUUCCAUCUCAAAGUAAAAUUUUAAAUUAUAAUUUAUAUGGUUGUUUAACAAUAAAAAACUUAGAACAGGUUAUUUAUUCUAUCAAAAGUUCAAUAUCAUUAAUACUUGUUAGGACAAAUUUUUUUAAAAAAAAAAAGAUGUUUGGAAAUAUAAUAAAUAUUGUAUUUUAAAGUGUUUUUUUUUCUUUAAAAAUAUUUUUAAAAAAUAAAAAAUUAAUUUUAAAUAAAAAUAAAUAAAUUUUAACCAAUUUUUUAUACCGCAGUCCCAAAUGAACCUUUUAGUCACCCAGAAAUUAGGUUGCAAGAAAAUAUAUAUUUUUACCUACUAAUCAAAAGUAUCUUUUUAAUAUUCAGAUACCAAUAUUUAAGACAUACAUUUAAGACAUGAAACUUGAAAAUUUUAACAAGAACACAGAAUUUGACUAUCAGGAUUCAAAAUACGCAUUAUCUUGCUGACAAAAUGACCUGCCUACUUGUUUGGCCGCCUGAAUUUACGUUGAUGCCACUCUCACCAUUCUAAUGGAAGCUUCUCUUUGACAAAAUCCCAUUGGUCAAAUAAGUACUACAAAUUCUAUUGUAUUGAUGGAGUAAAUAACUACCACCUUUGAGUUUUUUCCUCUUAACUCAAUACUUGAACAACGUUUCCUGUCAAUCCCUCUGCAAAAACACGACCGCUACUCCUUCAGGCCAUGUCUUGGCUUAUCCUACUCCUAACCAUAGCCUUGGUCUGUGGUUCAGCACCUGUGUUUGCUGAUGAUGAUGAGCGAUAUUUGAGCUGCAUGAACUCAUUUGAUUGCGGAAAUAUUAAGGGUGUUGGUUAUCCUUUCUCGGGAUCCGCUAGGCCUGAUUACUGUGGCUAUCCCGGGUUUGAGCUCGGUUGCAGCAACCAGGAUCCGGAGAUCACAAUCAUGCGAUCGACUUACAAACUCCUUGGCGUCAAUAACCAGUUGCGGACUCUCAAUGUUUCUAGAUCAGAUUACACAGAAAAUCUAUGUCCUACUCUCCUUUCCAACACCUCUUUGAAUCCAAACCUCUUGAAUUACACUUUAGAUUAUGCUGAGGCAACACUGUACUAUGGUUGCCCUAGUCCAAGCCCACCAGCGUUAUCAUCUCAGUUUACUUGCAACAUUAACGACACUGUUAUGGUGGGAAACUUUAUAACAGUCAACUUCUCUGUCCUUAGUAUUACUGAUACCAGCUUAAUCAGCUACCUGACAACAUGCAACAAUAGUGUUAAAUUUCCUGCCCAUCUAUCAGCUAUUAGGCCAAUUCUACCCAGUCCAACUGUAGCACAGUUUCUUGAAGCUAUUAACCAAGGUUUUGAGUUGGUUUGGAGUGCAAAUGAUUCAUUAUGUGAUACAUGUAAAUCUUCUGGUGGUCUGUGUGGGUACAACAGGACCACUACAGCAUUCACUUGUUACUGUGCGGAUCAACCUCAAGAUUUUGAAUGCUCAGCAUCACCACAGGCACCUAGUCAAUCAACAAGUAUGUCCUCUUUUCUUUCUUGAUAUUGCCAUGAUUGGAUAGAUAGAGAUAGCUGAAAUCUAAGAUAUGCCGUCCAGGCUAGGUGAUGUAGAGUGUGUUUGGCAUUGCGGUAGCUGUUGUGGUUGUGGUUUCAAAAAAGUUGUUUUAUAAAAAGUACUUUUAAUUGAGGUUGGUUUAAAAAAAUAGGUGUUUUGUUAAAACUGUAGUUGAAAUUGAGGUUGAAUAAAAAGUAAUUUAAUGUGUUUGGUUAAGAAUGCUUUUGAAAUUAAAGUUAUAAAAUAAUUUUAAAAUAUAUAUUUAUUAAUAUUGAUGGUUUUUAAUUUAAAUGUUGUAGAUUUAACUAUUGUUAUUAUUUCAUGAAAUAAAUAAUACUUUAUAUGAAAUAUUUUUUUAUUAUUCCUUAACCAUCUACAGUUCCAUUACGUACAAAACUCAUUCGACAAGAACUAUAUUUCUAUAAUUUUUUGAGCGUGCAAUAAAAUUAGAUAAAAUAUUUCAGGAUAAAAUUGAUUGAUAUUACAGUGCGAAUGAAUUUAAUUCACUUUAAACUAGUUUUUUAGGAAACAAAAUAUUAUUUACAUGACAAUAUAAGUAAAUUUAAUUCAUUCUAAAUUAUUUUUUUUAAUGUAAAAAAAAAAACAAAAAAAAAAAAACAGGAACAGUGCAAGUGAAUUGCACUGUUCCCGUGAACAGUGCGCGUGAUUGCACUGUUUGUGUGCACAGUGCAAGUGAAUUGCACUGUGCACAUGAGGCGUUAACUUUGAAAAGCAGCUCAGAGCUGCUGUGCAAAAAUCACGUUCAAAACGUGAAUUGUCGUGGGACCCACUAACAUUAAAGUGUGUUUCUGAUGUAACCAAACAUAUUGUUUGCUGUGGUUGCUUCAAACGCAGAAGCAACCACACAAACAAACGGACUCGUAGGAGGACCUCUGGUAAAAGAAACAGGUGUGAAUCGUUCCUUUGAGUAGAGGGAAGAACCUAGCUAGCUAUUAGGAAUUGUUCAAAGCUCCAUGAUCCUGAAGAGAACACCUUCCUCGGCCAUUUAAUUCCAGUAUAUCAAGCAAACAAAGACUUCGAUUAACUGACAAAGACUUUAUAACAUGAAAAUAUAGGUAGCCCUUUAUCACAAGGAGCAAUCAUUAUAGUAUUCCCAACCUAGUGUGUGUCGAGAUAUAUUAUUUCUUUAGCAGUAGCAGGAGACGAGACUGUCUAAUGAAAUUACUCUCCGUUAAUCUAGAAUUGCUAAAUACUCUUCAUUCCCACCAGUCCAGGCUCCUCGUUUAGUGAACUGAAAUUUGUCUAGGUUCCUGCUUCAACUAGUCCCGGUUUCUUGUUUAGUGAAAUGAAACUAGCCAUCCUACUCUUCUAAGUAAUCAAGGAACAAAAUUAUGUUUCAGAUAUUUUGUAACUUCUGCUGCAUAUUUGAGUCAGGUCAGGUUUUACCCUGUCAUAUUUUCGUCUUUGUUGAUUUAUGGGUAUGAUAGUUUUCAAGCAAAUGCUUCAAUAAUUUCAAUAAUCGAUGUUUGAAUUACUUUCAGAGUCCAUUAGUUUUUGUGUAGUCUUAAUGAAUAAUUAAUUGUAGCAAUUCGAGGUUAUCUGUUAAGAGGUUCAAUGUUCGAAAUUAGGCUUCUUUCUUCAGUCUUGUGUUGACUAUGACCCUAAGAAAGUUGGAGCUCUAUGUGGUGAUAGUUUGAAUACACAAUACGAUCCACAUCUUGUUCAUGAGAUGUUAAUUAACUCUAAGUUAAUCGCUGGGAGUUUUUUUUUUUUUUUUGCAGCCAUUGAUACUUAUUUCUUUAGUAGUUGUGUUGAGUGAUAGGGAAAAUUGAACAAUUCAAUUACUCAUAGUUUGAUUCCCCUGUUUUCUCUGUUUUUUGCAAUGCCUCUCUGCGAUUUUCGCAACGGAGAACCUGCUUCCCUUAAUGUUCCAGUUUCUUUAGGAUAGUUUCUUUAGGACAGUAGCUUGUAUGUAUAUAAUCUGAAUCAAGACAUGAACUAUUUUGUGUUCAACAAAUAAUAAUUGAGAUAGCCACUAUCAUAUUUUAAGUUCAUUCCAAUUGAUCAUGCUUACUAAGUGCCUACUGCCUACUGAAAACUUGCUUCAAUGUGGUCAUUGAUGUUUCUUGCUUUCAUGAUUUUUUGCAGAGAAGAAGUCUGGAAACAGUCCACUCGAAAUUGGUAUAAUUCUGCUACACACACUUUAUAAAAUCAACACCAAAAAUACAUGCUGAGCAUUUUGGUUUAUUUAUUUAUUUUCAUCUCCAGGACUUAGCUCAGCAGGUGCUUUUUUGGUGCCUUUGUGGGAUGCUGGAUCAUGGCCUUUAUACAACGGAGGAGAAGAAAAGCCGCCCUAGAGAAAACCAAAGAACUUCCUAUAGCAACUCCUUCUAGCAAAGGCCCUGCUACCUCAACUAAUCUCUCUCAAACCACCCCUUCUCUUACCUCCUUAAGGUCUGACAUUGAUAAGGGUAGUGCCUACUUUGGAGUUCGGGUUUUCAGCUAUGAUGAACUUGAGGAAGCAACCAACUUUUUUGAUUCUUCAAGAGAACUAGGAGAUGGAGGGUUUGGCACUGUUUAUUAUGGUUAGAAGAUGAAAUGAUUUCAUUUUGCAGUAUAGGAACUUGCAUCCAUUAACUGCUUUGUUGACUCUUUCUAAAUUUCUAGUUCUAUUGCUUGUUUUAUCAGGUGUACUCAGGGAUGGACAUGAGGUUGCCGUCAAGCGCCUAUAUGAGAACAACAUGAAACGUACUGAGCAGUUUAUGAAUGAAAUUGAGAUCCUAGCCCAUUUACAACACCGGAAUCUGGUGAAACUUCACGGAUGUACCUCCAGGCACAGCCGAGAGCUUCUACUCGUUUAUGAAUACAUUCCUAAUGGAACUGUUGCUGAUCAUCUUCAUGGAAGACAGUCAAACUCUCGCUUGCUCACUUUGCCUGUUCGGCUAAGCAUUGCCAUAGAGACAGCCAGUGCGCUGGUGCACCUCCAUGCUUCAGAUGUCAUACAUCGAGAUGUAAAAACCAAUAACAUUCUCCUAGACAAUGACUUCUGUGUCAAAGUGGCUGAUUUUGGUUUGUCCCGAUUGUUCCCAACUAAUGUCACUCAUUUAACGACUGCUCCACAAGGAACACCUGGAUAUGUUGAUCCGGAGUAUUAUCAAUGCUACCAACUCACGGACAAGAGUGAUGUUUACAGCUUUGGCGUCGUCUUGAUUGAGCUGAUAUCAGCUUUACAAGCAGUGGACACCAAUAGGCGUCGGCACGAUAUUAAUCUGUCCAACAUGGCAGUCAACAAAAUCCAAAAUCAUGCUUUGAAUGAGUUGGUUGAUCCAUUUCUUGGAUUUGAUAAGGAUUUCGUAGUGAGGAGGAUGGUAACAUCAGUUGCAGAUUAGCUUUCCGGUGUUUGCAACACAGAGGGAAAUGAGGCCAACUAUGGAAGAAGUGUUGGAGAUAUUGAAAAGAAUUGAGAAAGAAAAUUAUGGAGCAGAAAAGGCAGAUGUAUUGGAUAUUAGUGAGGAUGAUGUUGGGCUAUUGAAGCAUGCUUCUUCUCCACUUCAACUUUCAGCAGACUCAAUGAGUGAUCAAUUCUUGGGAAGCAGUUCUUCCACUAACACCCCCAUUCCUACUAGCUGUAGAGAUUUCCUUAUCCUUUUAGCUUAAAAUCCGUGAGUAGUAAAUUCAAAGUGUUAUACAAUAAAUGCGUUUGUGAUUCAGUUUUUUUUUUCUUUGUUGUGUUGUUUUGAUGAAACAAUUUAUGGUUGCCAUGUUUGUGGACUAACAUAAAGCUAAUAUGCAGGAAUUCGCGGUGGCUGAUAUAUACCUAUCACAAGAAGCUUAAUAGUACAUCUGUAGCGAAGCCUCUAAAGCUAGAUCAAGCAAAACUAGAGAAGAACAGGAAAGUUAUUAAUUAGACGUUUCUCACUUUCGAAAGAUAUAUACACUACUGGCAAAGGAAUGAAUCCAUCAAAAGAAUCAGAACUACAAGUUGGGGAGGAAUUUCUUCAGAUUGAUUACUGUUCCAACUUCCAUACAUCACAUUUCACAGGGUGUUAAAAGUUCUGUUUUUUUCAGGUUUCUGAUCUUAUGUCGUUAAUUAUCAUGUUAUUUAAACAGUCAGACACAGCUUUGAGCCUGCAACAAGAGAAUAGGUUGAAGCAGGUGGGUGUAACAAUGAGGAAUGCAGGCUCUUACAUGGGAAAACUGAAGAUGAACGAGGGGAGGGGAGUUUUGACAAGAUGGGAAACACUUCUGUAGAAAAAUUGUCAGAUCUGUCGUCUUUCUACAACAUGAUAGGCCAGACUUUGGUUGUUGAUUGAUAGUUUUCUUCUGUUUUGAGUGUUUAUAUGUAUAUAUAGAAAAUUUGAUGAAGAAAUUUGUGUCUCUCGUCUAAGUUCUACCAUUCAAUUAUUAUGAUUGAAAAAAACAUAAAGCAGAGAGGGUAUUAGUUUUCUAAUAUAUUUCAAAAUGUUAUUUAAAGUUUUUUUUUAAUGUAUAAAAAUAAUAUAUUUUUUAUUUUUUAAAAUUUAUUUUUUACAUUAACAUAUUAAAAUAAUUUUAAAAAUAAUAAAUUUAAAAACAAAAAAUUCAAUCAAGAUUUUUAUAUUCAACUUAGUUGUUCAUAAUAGUUAGAUUCAGUUAAGAUGAUCCUUUUUGGUUUUUAAUUAAAAAAAAUAACUAUGCUAAAUUUGUUUUUUAAAAUUAAAAGAAAUUAGUUCUGGUUAAUUUUGGUUCGGUUAAUUAAAGUAAAAAACCAGGAAAACCGACCAUAUAUGUGUUGAUUUGACAUAAACUACUGAGCAAUGAAACCAGAGCAAAGAAUGGAAACAUAUCUUUCAUCAAAGAUAUCCAAAAAUUCUUUUACACCACUUCUCUCCAACAAUACAGAUUUACUAAUUGCAUUCAAACAAUAAAAAGGAAAACUUAAGUACAAGAUGCCUCACCAGAUUUGAGGAGAUUAGAUAUAAAAAAUCCCUUCUGCUUUAUAGUUAUGUUUGCUUGUCUGUGUUUUUCUUCUAGAUCUACUAAUGAAUUUUUAGUUUCCACGAGCUUUUUUUGAAUUUUCAAGGAAGAGAAUAAUAAACUCAGAUCUUGCUGGUGGAAGCAGAAAAGCGGAAUGAAGAAGGUCUACGUAUUGACGACCUAAAGUUAACUACCUCAGUUUUAUCAAGUUUCUCACUUAAUUCCGCUGUCAAAUGUAGCUGAGAAUUGUAGAGUUCCUGGAGAAGACGAGAAGAUAGAAACCAGAAAAGGGGAGACGCUGAGAUUGAGAGAAAAAUUGGGGGAGGAACAACCGGGUUUGAUUUGGUCUCGAGGGUUGGAAGAAAAUUUUAUAUAUAUAUAUAUAUAUAUUUUUAUUUAUUUUUAUUUAUUUAUUUUUCUCUCUCUCUUCAGAGAUGACUGAAGUCACUGAACUGGUUUGAUUUGAUGUAGUUCAAUUAAUUUAGAUUAUUAAAACUACCACUUAAUCGAAUCAAAUAUUUUUUGGAUUUUUUAAUAAAUUAAUUGGAUUUUUUUUUCUGGUUUAGUUUUUUUAGUAUUUUUUUUAUUUUCUUGAUUUAAUUAAUUUUGUUUUUACCUUUAAAUUCAAUGGUGUCUGAUAUUAGUUAAAAUCUUAGAAUUCUUGAUCAGAAAAGAUUUGUAUACAUAAAACUUAUUUAAUAGUUAGAAGUUGUAAUUUUUUAUAAAUAAAUAUGAGGGAAAAUAAUUUAAAUUUUUUAAAAAAAUAUUGAAUUCAUUAACAAAAACUUGGGAGGUCAAAUACUUGCGUGAUUUAGUGUUUUUAAACAUAGUAGCCUUUUUUCCUUUUGAUGGUAGCAAACGCGGCGACGUUUUUGGCAGUAACCAGAUGCAACGAUAGCCUCUCGUAGUUGCAAGACCCUAAACGCAGCUAGAAAAGUCAAAACAAGUAGCUGCAAAAUACAACGUAGAAAAAUAUAGUAGCAACUCCAAAACACAACAAUUUUAACAUACUUUAAUGGCGGAAAAUAGAAUACAAAAUUAGAAAAUUUACAGCAGCAAUAGGGACCUUCCAAGGCAUAAACAACCUCCAAAACAAACUAGAAAUCAUCCUCUAAUAGCAUUAGAAAAAAGUCUCCUAUGAAUAAUUUUCAUUAUGAUCAUUAUAACAUGUUAGUGGAUAAUUUUCUAAGUUCUAGAAAGUAUUGGAGAAUUUUUUUCUCAAUGAAUAAUUGAACCAUCAACCAAACCAAUAACAUAUAUGUGAAAAGGAAAUGAUAAAAAUACAACAAUUGAAAGCUUCAAAACAUAGAAUUAUCUUUUUCAAUCAAUUGAUUAAUCAAUCUUGAAAAGUAUUCUUUGCAAGGACGCCUCUAAUAAUAUUUGCAAUUCGAUAAAAUAAAAGUAUUAAAAAACAACUAGAGCAAAGAUACAAUAACUUCAAGGACUUUAAACGAAAUCUAAACUGCUUAAAAAUAAAUAUGAAAGAGUCGGUCACAUAUUAUUUUUCACAAAUAAUGACAACCAUUAACAAUAUGUGGAUCCUUGAAGACAAAAUUGAGGAUAUCAUCAUCAUUGAGAAAACUCUUCAAUUAUUAAUGCCAAAAUUAAAAAAAAAUUGUUUAAAAUGAAUUUUUUAUAUAUAUAUUUUUAGAUCGUUUUGAUGUGCUGAUGUUAAAAAUAUUUUUUUAAAAAUAAUAAUUAAAAAAAAAUUAUUUUGAUGCAUUUCUAAAUGAAAAACACUUUAAACCACCACCACAGUUACAAUUUCAAACACAUAAAAAGAAGCAAGUUUUAUGAGUUUUCAUCUAAUAAUCAUUGCUUUUUACCUCAUGAAGAGGUGGUUGAGGAAGAGGAUGGAGCAUAAGCAAUAAUCAUGUUAGAUUUUCACAUUAGUAAUUUGGAGAUAAUUAGUCUUCUAAUUCUUAAAAAAAAAAAAAUAUGACGACAAUCAUUCAACUUUUUACAAGCCAAAAUCAAUGGACAAAUCAAGAGUUUGUGGUGCAGGUAUGAACAUUUCAAAUCAAAAUGUCAAACUAAUUUGAAUAGUAAUGUGGUAGAAACUUAAUUUUGCAUAAAAGAAAGAUGAAACAUCUUUAUUGAUAUAUUGUCAUAUGAAUGAGAAAAAUUACCAAAGUUUAUGGUACUUAGACACUGGUUUUAACAAUCACAUGAGUGGAGAUAAGUCAAUCUUCUUUGAUUCAGAUGAAUCUUAUCAAGAUUUUGUGAAGCUUGGUGAUGAUUCUAAAAUUUUUGUUAUGAAAAAAAGGAAAGGUAGCAAUUCAAUUUAAGAAGAAUAUUGUUCAUAUCAUCUUUGAUGUUUUAUUUAUUCCAGAAUUAAAAACAAAUUUACUUAGCAUUGGUCAACUUCAAGAAAACAGGUACAAAGUUUAUAUCAAAAUCGAAGCAUGUAGAAUUAGAGAUGACAAAUUGGGCUUAAUAUCUUCACGAUAUUACUCUUUUUUUUUUUUACAAGAUUAAAUUAGGAAGCAUGGCUAUGACAUUUUUUCUAUGGACAUCUUAAUUUUGACGGAUUAAAAAUUAUAUAUCAAAAGUAUAUAGUGAUGUGGGUUUUCCUCAAAUUACAACUCCUUAUGUUUGUGAAGAAUAUGUUGUUAGCAAAUAACAUCAAAAUCAGUUUCCACGAGAAAAAACAUGGAGAACAAGGAAGCCAUUUGAACUUGUUCAUUCAGAUAUUUGUGAGUCGAUAACUCUAUUUUCUAAUAAAGAUAAAAGAAAUAAUCAUCUUUAUUAAUGAUUACAAUCAAGAAACUUGGGUUUAUAUUUUGCAAGAAAAAUUUAAAGCUUUAAAAAGUAUAAAGCAAUUAUUGAGAAUAAAGAUGACAAUCUAAUAAAAGUUUUUCUAACAAAUCAUGGUGGAGAAUAUAAGUCACAUGAAUUUGUAAUUUUUAGUGAGACUCAUGGAAUUAAGAGGUAAUUUAUUGCAACUUACACGCCUUAACAAACUGUGUUUGUAAAAGGAAAUUCACAUUAUUAAAGAUACGGUAUAAAGUUUUUUGACAAGAAGUGGCCUACCAAAAUCUUAUUGGUCAAAAGCAGUAAAUUCAAGCAUUCAUAUUUUGAAUAGAAGUCUCACACACGCUAUUAAAGAUAAGACAUCAGAGGAAGUUUGGAUUGGAUGAAGACCGAUAGUAAAUCAUCUCAGAGUUUUUCGGUGCAUUGUCUAUACCUAUAUUCCAAACCAAAAAAGAAAAAAAUAUAUGUAAAUGAUAAAGGAGAAAAAUGUAUUUUUCUUGUUAAUAAUGAUUAUUCAAGAUCUUAUAAACUAUGUAAUCAUAAUACUAAGAAAUUUGUUAUUAGUCAAGAUAUUAUUUUCUAUGAAGCUACAUUUUGAACAUCGAGUGAUGAUGGUGCCAAACAAAAUAUUACAGUGAAUUUAAAUUGUGAUAAUAGUAAAAAAAAAAACCUAUGAAAAAAACACCACAACCGAUGGAUGAUCAUAGCACAUCUAAUAGUCAACUAUCAUAACACGUUACUUUUAUUUAGUUUAUAAGUGUUUUUAAUAUCCCUAUAAAUACAAGAUUCAAUGUAUUCAUAGGCUCAUAAGAGAGUUGAAUCAAUCCAUAAAAACUUGAAAUUGAGAAAUAUAACAAUUGAUUUAUUGAGAAGUUUCCAGCUGGUGGCAAGGAAGAUCUUGCAAUUCACAAUCGAAGACUUGAAUUUUGCCAUGAAACCCUUCUCGAACAAAUACUAGUAAAACCAUGCAUGGAACACGAUGGUACGUGUCCCAUGACUCCAAACGGAAAAUAUAAUGCCAUUUCCCACUAGCAAAGCUCUUAGACCAGUCUCCUAUUUACACUACAGACGGCAGAGACGGGGCUAAAUUGAAUAGUGGAGGGUCAUGGAGCCCCCCACACUUUGGAAAAUCAUAAAUUUUACCACUAAGAUUUUGAAAAUUCUUAAUUAUACUUCCAAUUUUACAUGUGUCACCUCAAAAAACAAUUACUUUCUAACUCCUCCCCUGACGAACUGCUACAUAUAGAGUCUAGAACACUUUAAAUCAUCUUUGAAAAAUUCAAGUCAAGUAUAAGAACCAUCAUCGUACGGACUAAAACGCGAACGCAGGAAAUCGGUCACAGCCUUCUGCUACUUUCUCCACUUUUUUUUUUGUUUUCCUUGUUACACUAUCCAAUUUAGAGUCCACAUUUUGGUCCCCUUUGAUGUUCCUUACCCUUGAAAGUUGAACGUUGUAGUGACUACUAUUUUAACCUGACUGGUAGAUAUGGAUGUAUAUUCAAGUAUUAUGUAUUUUUUUAAUUGAGAAGAGGAAAGAUAUUUUGUACGUUUAAUAAAAUAAAUUACAAAAUAUAUAAACUAAUAAAUCGAAAAGGACUUUAAGCUAACUAAAUACAAACCUAUACGGGAUAGCCACACAAGUAUUUAAAAAUACAAUCUUUCUUUCUCUCAGUUCAUUAUCGGUUAGAGCAACUAUGAAUUCAACUGUGGCCAGCAGCUACUGCUUGUCUUCUAUUCAAUCUUUAUUUUCUUUUUGUUGGAAAGUUCAAUGGGCCUUGUUCUUGACAAUUGAGCAGCCGUCUCUCGUGCGCAAUCUCUCUUAUGUCAGAUUUCAGCAACUUUCAAUUUCCUCUGUUCUGUAUGUUUCAUGAGUGAUGUACAGUACAUAGACUUCGUUUUGCAGAUGAAAGCGCGUGGUGGAGAUUAAUGUGCAUGACCUUUGAAAUAUAUAUAUAUAUAUAGAAGACUUUUCAAGUCAACUAAGCAUUCAUUACUGUAAGUAGUGCAUCUAGCUAUAUCGAUCGCCUUCUGAUGUAUUUAUUUUCCUAAUUCUGAUGGCUAUUAUCAUGUCGCUACUCAUUUCUUUAUCCUCUAAACUUUACCGGAAACAGCCAAGCUCACUUUACUAAUUACACAACUCAAUUUCUCCUAUACUGCUUCCUCUUUGCCAAAAUGAACUACCCAGUUUUUUCGCUAUCUCCUUCCCCUUCAGUUUUUGUUAUUGUAUUGUUGCUCUUCGUUCAGGUUCCUUCAUCUGUCAGCAACAGUACCCUGUUCAAUUACUGUAGUAAUAAGUUUGUGUGUGGGAAUAUUUCCGCGGAUUUUCCUUUCUGGGGAACUGGCAGACCGGCGCCUGCCUGUGGCAUUCCUGAAUUGGAGCUCAAGUGUGAGGAUAAUAUCGCCAAGAUGACUAUUGAUCGGGUUGCGUAUCGUGUUCUCGACAUCAAUCAGGAUGAUGGAAUUCUCAGGAUUGCAAGAGAGGACUACUUGGUUGGAUUGUGUCAGCCUCAAUUCGUGAACAGCACCUUCAAUCCGAAGGUUUUCGAGUCUGUUGAGGGUUACACAAAUCUUACAUUUAUUUAUGGUUGCAUGACUGCUCCUAUAGCCAUGCCUGUUCCUGGACAAUUCAAUUGCAAAAUAAACGCGGUAAAUUAUCAAAGUGGUUAUAUCCAAGAAGGAGCUACUGGUCCUGGGGAAUGUUAUGGUAGUGUCUUUAUGCCAAUUUCUAUUACAGAUUUGUCACCGGUCGUUAUGAUGCCAGAUUUGGAACAAAGCUUGAAAGAAGGAUUCAAGGUAAGAUGGAAGGUCGAUGGUGAGGCGUGCAGGGAAUGCAACAGCUCUUCAGGAGUUUGUGGUAUUGACUCUGUCACUAAUCAAACAACUUGUUACUGUCCGAAUCAAUCAAGUGGAUCAAGAACAUGUGCUUUUCUUCCAGCUCCAGGUAUGUACCUCAUCUCUUCUCCUCGAAUCAGUUCAUGAACUCCAGUCACGGCUUGAUGCUUCACACACCAUGGUUCCUUAAUUCCCUGUUUUAUUCGUUUAAUUUUAUUUUAAGUAUACUUGGAGUCUUGGACAGAAUAAAAGAAAUCUUUAUCAUGUUUUAGAACCACUUUUACUUUACUAGAGAGGCUCAAACUGCAGAACUAGAGGAUGGUAGGAAGGGAUACCUUUCCUGUUACGUAAUGGUCACUUGACGCAGUCAACAUUGAAGGAAUGGGGUCUCUUUACAUUAAAAAAUAAAAAUAAAAAACCACAAUUGUUAAUUAACUAUAAACGAAAAGAGAGGAACACCUCCUCACAAAAUACCAUUUGAAUAGUUUUUUUAUGUUUUUUUUUUGUUUUUUUUUAUUUUUAAAUUAAACAUUAGGUUGAUUAGAGAUUGAAAUUUAUAAUUUAUUUUAAUUUGUUUCUAUAAGAUUAUCUCGAUCUUAUGACUUAAAUUAUGUAUUUGACAGGCUAAUUUAAGUUUUUUUUUUUGUUUUUUUAAUUGAUUUUAAAAAAAAAAUUCAUCUUUUAAUAUUGAGUUGAUUGUGAACUAGGCUUUAUUAUUAUCUUGAUUUAUUUUUUAAAAAGUUAUCAUAGUUUCAAAAAUUAAAUAGUAAAUUUGACAUGUUAACUCGAAUUGACCCGAGUUAACAUGUACUAAAAGGACCUGACUUUUUAUUGUAGUAAUAAACAAUGAAAAGCCAAACUCUUUUUCACUUUGGUCUAAAAAUAUUUUAGGCUUUUUUUUUAAUGUUUUUCAACUUCAUCCUUCAAUAUUAGAUUUACUAGGUAUAGAGCUUCGUAGUUUGUUUUGAUUUGAUUUAUAUGAAGUUAUUUCAGUCUCAUAAAUUGGGUCAUGAAUUUUACGGGUUAAUUGUGUUAACUCGAGACAUUGUUUUGGUUAUUUUUUUAAUUAUUUUUUAAUUUUAUCCUUCUAUAUUUGGUUGUUUAGGAAUCAAACUUUAUAAUUAUUUUUUAAUCGCUUUCUAUCGAUUUAUCCUAGUCUUCUGACCCAAGUUUAACAGGUUAACCAUGGUUGACUUAGGUCAUUUAUUUAUUAUUUUUUAAUAUAUAUUUUUUUUCAAUUUAAUCCUUCAAAAUUAGGUUGGUUGGGAAUUAAAAUUUUUAUUUUUUUAUUUUUUUAUAUGUGGUUAUCUCGGUCUAAUAACCCAGAUUGCGGAUUAGGCCAGUUGACUCGGGUUUUUUGUCGUUUUUUGAAUUGAUUUUUUUAAUUUGAUAAUUUAAUAUUAGAUUGAUUGAGAAUUAAAUUUUAUAACUUGUUUUAAUUUAUUUUCUUAUGAGGUUAUUUUGAUUUUAUAAUUCAAAUUAUUAAUUUCAUCUGUUGUCAAGAAUGGUUUUUUAUAUAUUUUUUUAAUUGACUUUAGAAAGGCCUCGAAUGGCCUUUGGUGCCUCCCAACGAUAUAGAUCUCUAAAUAAUCUUUCAUGGAUUUGUAUGAUUUGCAUCAAUUGAAUGCGCGGGUCAAAAGUUGUAGAAUUUUAAAGCAACAGUGCGUGUUUUCCCUUCCUUCCGGGCUAUCUCCAUGGGCUUCUGUCCAUGAAUUCUUCAACCACAUGCCCUACGUCACGUCAGAACUUUCAAAUCUUAAUUAAAUUGACGUCAAUGUUGUCAUUAAUUUUCAUAGCAUUUUACAUAGAGGUCUACGGUGGUUUCCUUUUACCAAUUCUCGACAAGGAAAAACUCUUCCGAGGCAAGAAAAUCCAAGAUAAACCCAUCGUAUCAGUGAACCCUCACCAAAUGUUCAUAUAACAAGAUUGAACUUGUUCUGCAGUCAGAAUUGCUCUUGCGUACUUGUUCAUGGGGUUACACAUGAAAUAUUGAAACAAAUUAAGGGCAGCUGCAACCUUCCUCAGUUUGCUACAGCAUAAAUUAUGUUCAUCAGAUUCCAUUUCCGUAAUAGCUGAGCUGUUUAUUUGCAGCAGAACCAAUGUGACUUUCUUACAAAAACAUUUUCCUCAGAUGCCCUGGCUAGUGCGUCAAAAUUUACUACUCCCUUUAGAUCCAUCACUUGCUGUAGUAAAUUAUGUAGAUACCUUAAAGAUUAGUGAGCAAUUCAGUCCAUGACAGCAGUUGAAACUUGAAGUCAACCGGAAAGCUUUUCUUGACUCAAAUAACAUCUUAUUCUUAAUCCUAAUUUAUCAAAGGCAUACAAAAUUAUCAGUGAUUUCGCUGCUUUCACAAUUUUUAACUUGCAAGUGAUUGUUGCCUUAAGGACCUCUGCAAAUUCCUAGACGGAUGGACCGACAAAGUACCAGUCAAAAUAUACAAUCUCGACGGAUCUGUCAGUUCUUACACCACGGUUAGGAGUGUUUAGUGAUUUGUCAGAGAGUCGCCGUGCGGAAUAAUCUUUACUGCUGCUUCCAUAAAUAAUAGGAGAGAUGAAAUGAGGAUUCAGCCUUCAGGAAAGAUUUGAUCCGACAAACUACUUGCUCCCCAAAGACAGUAAUCUAAAGAAUUUUCAUUUGGGAUUAGUAAAUCCAAUCAACUUAAGAAUUAUAGGAAAUUUACAAGCUGAUCUGGUCUUUCUGAUAAUGUCAUUAAUUUCUGGUUGUUAAAUAUUUCAUUGUCCUUUUUCCCUUGUAUGAUAUAGUCUAAAAACUUAAAUUAAAAUUUAAUCCAAGUUUCUCACCUCAUAUCUUCGUCGGAUCAGGCCUUAGGUGGCACAUAUGACGGUCAUUCUGAACCAUUGACAAUAUUUACUCUAAGAACACGAACCUAGAACGUCAUAACGUCAGAUGACCUUUAUUUUUAUCUGCAUAUUAUACAAUAUUCUUUGAUUUGUCUUACUAUCCUGUUUGUUAGCUCGCAAACUUGUUAGCUAUACAUCUUUUCAAUAUUUUGUCUGUUCUAUUGAUGAUUUUUUAAUGGUGUUUACUGAGUCACUUGUUAAUUUGCUCAUUGGAGCUUCUUGGAUGUAUAGAAGUUCAGACAGGAAAUGGGGUUUUGGUAUAUUCUUACAAAAUCGAAAACAAGUUGCUUCUUCGUCCAUAAAAUCGGCAUCGUAUUGUUAUCCUCAGAAUUGGCUAUCCAAGAUUGCCGUGAGGCUGUAAAACAGUAAUUAAGAAGGUGCGAGGCCUGAAACUUGGAAGUCAAAUAAACCAAAUACUUGAAACAAUAACAAGGUCACGGAAUCUGACUAUCAAAAUUGAAAAUACACACUAAAAAUUAUUUUAUCUUGCUAAGAAAAUGACCUGCUGAUUCCCCUAGCCGCCUAAAUCCGCGUUGGUGACACCCUUGCCAUUCAAAUAGAAGCUUCACUUUGACAAGUUUGAAACCCCCACUUGGUCAAUUAAUACCUAUUCCAUUAUAAUGGUUGAUUGAAAUAGCUUCCAUCUAUUUUGUUUUUCCAUUUAUCUCAAUGAUAGAGCAAUUUCUCCUCUGAAUCCCUCUCUAAGAGAAAAUGCAACCCCAUGUCUUCCCAGCCAUGUCCUGGUUUAUCACGUUCAUAGCCAUGAUCUUUAUUGGUGGUUCGACACUUGUGUUCGCCAACGACGAUGAGCGAUAUGUAAACUGCAGCAACUCGUUUGAUUGUGGAGAUAUUAAGGGUGUUGGUUAUCCUUUCUGGGGAUCCAAUAGGCCUGAAUACUGUGGCUAUCCGGAGUUGAAGCUCAACUGCAGUGACCAAGAUCUGGAGAUCACAAUCGAGAAAUUGACUUACAAAGUUCUUGGCAUCGAUAACCAGUCACGGAUUCUCAGUGUUGCUCGAAAAGACUAUGCAGAAAACAUCUGUCCGACACUCAUUCUCAACACCACUUGGAUACCCAAUCUAUUGAACUACACAUCCGAUGAUCAGAACAUAACAAUCUACUAUGGUUGUCCCACGCAAGGUGCACCAGCAGCUUUACCGCUUUUACCUCAGUUUCCCUGCAACAUAAACGCCACUGAGAUGACGGGCUACUUUACGGCAUUUGCCAACUUGUCGGAUCUUGGUAACUCUGCUUCUAACUUGAUCCGUUACCUGGCAACGUGCAGCGAUAGCAUUAAAGUUCCAGUACUUGAAUCAGCUUGGCAACAAUUUUUUAGUGCUCCAAAUGUAACACUGCUGCUGGAAGGUCUAAAUCAAGGUUUUGGUUUGGAGUGGAAUGCAUUUAAUAGCUUAUGUGAUACAUGCCAAUUUUCUGGUGGUAAGUGUGGGUACAACCAGACUACUACAGCAUUUACUUGUUAUUGCAAGGAUCAACCUCAACAAUUUUAUUGCCAACAAUCUCCACCUGAAGCUCAAUCCCCAACUAAUGAUCAAUCCUCAAGUAUGUCCUCUUGCCUGUUAUUUUUUUUUUCUGCUGAUGUCACACUAGGAGUAAAUAGGAAAACAGACAACUUAUACUUGGAUUCUGCCCUUUCCAGAACCCAAGAUAUGUCCUCCUCCAAAUUAGGUAAUGGUAGAAGUAGGAUCUUUGCUAAUAGAAAACUGACCUCUUAUCAGUCAAGGAAACCAUGAAAGUGACAAGGAAAUUUAGGUGGCCAUGCGAGUGACAAGGAGUAAUCCUAACGUUUCAAGUUGCUUGUUCAUAUAUUUCCAACAUUGCAUCUGCUGAUAAGUAAUCUUCAGGUACUAUAGCAGUCUUUAGUGGUGGCAGAUGCAAGAGACUGCAAUAAAAUUACUCUCUGUUCAUGUAGAAUCGCAAGAUACUCUUCAUUCCCACUAAUCCAGGCUCCUUCUUUAGUGAACUGCGAAAAGUCGAGGUUUCUUGUUUUGUGAAUACAACUAUCCAUCCUACGCUUCCUACUAGUCCUGAUCAUUUCUUUUUCUGUCCUUUUCCAUAUGCUCUUCAUUGGAAAAUUUUGUUCCGUUCUAUCCUAUUCUGUCCAUUUCAGUCUUCUUCAACCUUGACUGCUCAAAACAUAGAAAGCUUCCAAGUUUUAAACAAAAUCUUGCUUUGCUUUCAAAUUCUGAGUUCCAGAUUUAAUUAAAAAAACAAAAACAAAAACUAUCCAUAUUUUCUCUCCCAAAUACGAAAUCUUAUGUGAUUGGUUAAGAGAAAAAAUCCAACUUUAUUAUUAUAUGGUUUUCAGCUUUAUUACCUGUUUGAGUUCUUGUAGAGAUGAUGGUUUGGUGAUGGAUUAAUCUAUUAUGAUGGUUGUGUUAGUGGCUGAUAUUUUAAUUGCAAUUUGAUUGAAUUUCUUAUAUUCUUUCCGAACAAUUUUUUAAAACAAUAAUUUUUUUAUUUUAUUUUCUUAUGGAGAUAUAGGCGUGAUAAUGCAUGGAUUGUAGUGACAAUGAUUUUUAAUUUAAUUAUGUUUUCUUUUUCUUUUUCUUUUAUUUCACUCAAUUUCAUAAUUAUUAUUUUUCACUUUUUUUAAUUAACAAACAUGUAAUUGUUUAAUUAACAAAUUCUGGGAAUUUCUUUUCUCAAUUUAAAGUAUUUGAUAUUUUUAUUUUUUAUAUUUGCUGUUCAAUAUAUUUAUUUAUUUUUUUAAUUAUGAGGGAAUUCCUGUGAAUAUGGUUUCUCUGGUCAAAUAUGAUUAUAAAAGUAAUGGUUAUGUUUCUCAUGGGAUAUAAUUCAUUGUUGAAUCUUUUCUAAUACGUAACUUGACUUUGUCAUUUCUUUUUACAUUAAUACUACAGGAAAUGAACGCGUCUUUCACCUUAAUUUUUUUAUUUUAUAAUUUCUUUUUUUAUUUUUUAUAAUUUAUAAUUUAUUAUAAUAGACGAUGAUGGUGAUGCUUGUUGAAUGGAUUCACAUCUUCAAAUUACCCUGCAUAAAAUAUUAUUUAGUCCUUGUGUUUUAGUAAGAUAAUCAGCUACUUUUUCUUGGUCAAAAAGCCUAAUAUCGUAUUCUAUGUUUUUAUUUUCGUUCAUGAUUUAGUCCUUCUGUUAAAUAUAUGUUUAUAAAGUGUUGAGGUGUCACUAAUUUAGUAUUUUUAAAAAAAAACCAUCCUUUAAUUUCAACUAUAUAUUAAUUAAAAGAAACCUAUGAAUGGUUAGGUAAUGUUUUAAACCCGCUAAGAUUAGAGAGGGGUCAAGAUAAAGAUAUAAAAAUAAAUAUAACUUUGAGAUAGCUUUAAAAUGAAUUUUUGUUUUUUCAAGACAACAAAACAUGUCAUUUCUCUUCUAAAUGUCUUUAUUUCUUUUUCUUUUUCUUUUUGAUAUUAUAAUCAAACACCGAGCUUUAAAAAACUUUAAACAUCAUUGAAGGUUAAGAAAGACUAAAUGAUAGUUUUUUAAAAUCAAAUAUAUUAAAAUAGUGUUUGAGAAAAUGAUCCAACUAUGAUUUUCAAGAUUUUUGAUUUUUUUUUAAAUUUAAACUAUAUGUUUUUUAUUAUUUUGAUGUAUUGAUUUUAAAAAUAAAAUUUUAAAAAUAAAAAUAUAUAUUAUUUUAAAGUAUUUUUAAACAAAACAAUAUUUUAAAAAAUAAUUUUUACCACUAUUCCAAACACCUUUUAAGUUAUACUACCAUUAAAAACAAUACAUAAGGAUUAAAAUUAGUAAUUCCUCAUUUUCUUUUCAGGUUUUGUUAUUCAACCAUCAUUGACCAAAAUCUUAAUAUUAUCAUGGCGGGGGUGGUUGUGGCAUGAGCUCAGUUUGUAACCACUUUUGUAAGAGUCUAUAUAGUUUGGUGUCAGAAAUGGACUGCUUUUAAAACUCCCACCUCCGUCAACUUUCUUGACCAAUUCUGUGGGUUAAUAAGCUCCGUCAUCCCUCUACUUUCUUGAUUCCCCUAAUGUCACCCCUUCAUCAGUUAACUUUUUAACGUGGCCCCUCCUACUAAUCCUCAUUCACCUUGCUUAAUUUAUUAUUAAAACUAGUAAUAUCAAUAUUUAUGAUAAUUUUAUGAUUGAUUUGUACUGUAAAUAGAUAAUUUAAGUGAGCUUAGUCCUUGAUUAGAAGAGAAAGGGUGGUUAGUGGGUUGCGUUUAUCAGUCCAGGUCAGCAUUAACGUAAGAAUUUGAAAGGAAUGGCUUAUUUGACCCAAUGAAGGAUAAGUAGGAGGGUCAUAUCAAGAGAAAUAAUUGAUAGGGACCACAUUGAGAAAAUUAUAAAGUAGAUGGGGUGGUUUUUGAAGUCUUGCCUAGCUAUCAAAACAAAAUUCUCAACAACCUUUAAGAAAUUUCCGUCUCCCCUUACAAUUGAAUUAAACAGGAUUUUAGUGUUAUCAUGGCGCCCACCUGAAUAUUUCAAUAAAAAAAUAUAAAAAAAGCAGGAUAUUCCCUCUUGAUAUCAUUCUGUUUAUUUUUAUAUUUUAAAAUAUUUUUUAAAAAAUUUAAAUUUUUUUUAUUUUUUUUACUUUAAAUUAAUAUUUUUAUAUUAUUUUAAUAUAUUUCUAAAAAAAAAACACUUUAAAAAACAAUCACAACUAUACUUUCAAAUAUAAUUUUUGAUUUUGUAAAAACAAAUAUAGCUCAUUUUUUAUAUCUAGUGAAAAAAAUAUAAAUUCAAAUAUAUUAGAAAAUUCUGAAAAAAAUAACCCUCUUUUAGAAAAGAACAUUUUUAUCAUAAUUUCUUAAUUCCGAACUAAAUAGCCUAUUCUUAAGAUAAAGAUGAACUUGGACCUUACUGAUAUAAAAAUGAGAUUUAUGAUUAAUUAUAAUGGAAUUUAUUUAUUUAUAUACUUAAUAAUUUAUCAUGAACUUUAGUCUUGCUAUUGCGAAGAUUAUUUUGUAGACAGUCACAAAACAAUCAUUGUCUUACAAGAACCUAAUCCAACAAAAGUCAACCAAAGCCAGCCCAUGUCCAUAACCAAGUCAAUAGUCAUGUUCUACACAACCACCCUCCCGUUACCAACACCACCCUCCCGUUACCAGCACCACCCUCUUAACCUUCCCCACCAUUCCACCAGCUGCUGCACAACCCCUUCUGAUUCCUCCACCAAUGCACCCCCUCACCAGCACCUCUUCCCUUCUCACCCUCUUUCUCUCCCUCCACUUAGCGACAUCGCUUCCUUCCAAUGGCAUUAGUAAUCUUACAAACUGUAAUCAAAACUUCUCCUGUGGUAACCUCACAAACAUCGCCUACCCUUUCACUGGUGGCCUACGUCCAUCCCACUGCGGCCCACCGGAGUUCGGCCUCACAUGUGAGGAUGAAUCAGUCACCAUUCUAAAAGCUAACUCACUGAGUUACCGAGUCACUCAGCUUGACCAGACCAGCCAAACCUUAAGACUCUCACGUUCAGACCUCGACGACGACAGUCCAUGCACCAGCCAAUUCAAUAGCACCACUCUGGAUAACAGAAUGUCCAUUCUUGGUUCCAGCCAUGAACUUUCUUUGUCUUAUGGAUGCAAGAAGAUUAACGACUCUUACAUGGGAUCAGAUCCGCUGCUAAAAAUCUCUAGGUUCUCUUGUGACAAUCAUGGAGUUACAGAAGAAGGGUUUUUCUCGAUUGGUUACCCUUACGGUGAAUAUCCUUUUCCGAAUAUGUUUGAGUGUCAAGCUAAUAUUCGAGUGCCAAUUCUUGGGACUCGGGCACAACAGCUUUUUGAUAACGGGUCAUUAGUUGGUGAGGUUUUGAGAGAAGGGUUUGAUGUCAGUUACAGUGCUAAUUGUACAAAGUGUUACAAGGAGCACCCUGGUGGGUAUUGCGGGUUUGAUACACAGUUGGGUAAACCUAUUUGCAUUUGUAAUGAUCGGCUCUGUCCUGGUAAGCAAAAAUCUUUAGUUUUCAUGAGUUUGUUUGGUGAACCUUAUUGGGGAAAUUGAUGAGAGGAGGUUCUUAUCAAAUUAUAUAAUGCUUCACUGAUUUCAAGAAUUGAUGAGAGGAGGUUCAAUGUUCAAAAUUAGGCUUUUUUGAUUGAGUCUUGUGUUCACUCUCUGCCCCUUUAAGGCCAAGGAGGUCAUAAUUUGGAUUCAACAAUAUGAUACAUUUCUUGUUAGUGAGAUGUUAAGCAAAUCUUGCUUAAGCUAAGAGAAAUGUUUUUCACUAAUUAAUUCUUAUUUCUAUCGUAGUUUUGUUCAGUGAUAGGAAAAAAACUGAACAAUUCAUUUAGUCAUAGUUUUCCCCCUGUUUUUCCCCUGCCUGUUUUGCUGCUUUCUCCAACGUUGACUAGCUUCCUUUACCUUGGCAGGUUGUUUAGGCCAAUGGCCUGUUUGUCUUUAAUCUGAAAGAAUUCAUGAAUUAGUUUGCAUCUAACAAAUAAUAAUUGAGAUAGCCACUAUCAUAUUUUACAAGUUUCUGUUAGCUGAUCAUGCCUUCUAAGUCCGUCCCUGGUGAAAAUUUGUCCAGUGUAGUCUUUAUUCUCAACUGAUGUUUCUUGCUCUCAUGAUUUAUGCAGAUAACUCGACUAAGAAGAAACGACGACUUAUAAUAGGUACUCUUCUGCUACAUAUACUGUGUUAAAUCAACAUUGAAAAGAAAAGCUGAGCUGUUUCUUUUCUUUUCUUUUCUUUUCCAGGACUUAGCACAGCAGGUGCAGUCGUUAUUGGUAUCAUUUUUGGAUGCUUGGUCUUGUUUGUCGUACAACGAAGGAAAAGAAAAUCUGCCCAGGUGAAAAGCAAAGGCCUGCCUGUAGCUACACCUCCUUCAAGCAAAGGCCUUACUACUUCAACUAAUCUCUCUCAGGCCACUACUUCUCUUACCUCCUCAAAGUCAUACCUUGAAAAGGGCAGUACCUACUUUGGAGUGCCGGUGUUCAGCUACAAUGAACUUGAGGAAGCCACUAAUUGUUUCGAUCUUCUAAGGAACUUGGAGAUGGAGGCUUUGGCACUGUUUACUAUGGUUAGAAGAUGAAUGAUAUCAUUUGCAGUAUAGUAACUUGCACAAAUUAACUUAACUUUUGUUCCUUUCUAAUUUUUGUAAUGAUUGCUUGAAUGAUCAGGUGUACUCAGGGACGUGUGGUUGCCGUCAAGCGCCUUUAUGAGAACAACAUGAGACGCUGAGCAGUUUAUGAAUGAAAUUGAGAUCCUAGCUCGUUACGGCACAAGAACCUGGUGAACUUAUGGAUGCACCUCAAGGCACAGCCAGAGCUUCUACUUGUUUAUGAAUACAUUCCUAAUGGAACGUUGCUGAUCAUUUCAUGGAAGACAGUCAACUCUGGUUUGCUCACUGGCCUGUUCGGUUGAGCAUUGCUAUAGAGACAGCCAGUGCACUUGCAUACCUCCACGCUUCAGAUGUCAUACAUCGUGAUGUCAAAACCAAUAACAUUCUCCUAGACAAUGACUUCCAUGUGAAAGUGGCUGAUUUUGGUUUGUCGAGAUUGUUCCCAACUGAUGUACUCAUGUAUCGACUGCUCCACAGGAACACCUGGAUAUGUUGAUCCGGAGUAUUAUCAAUGCUACCAACUCACCAACAAGAGUGAUGUUUACAGCUUUGGUGUCGUCUUGAUUGAGCUGAUAUCAGCUUUAGAAAGCAGUGGACACCAAUAGGCACGGCACGAUAUUAAUCUGUCCAACAUGGCAGUCAACAAAAUCCAAAAUGCUUUAAAUGAGUUGGUUGAUCCAUUUCUUGGAUUCGAUAAGGAUUUCGCAGUGAGGAGGAUGGUAACAUCAGUUGCAGAAUUAGCUUUCCGGUGUUUGCAACAAGAUAGAGAAAUGAGGCCAGCUAUGGAAGAAGUAUUGGAGGCAUUAAAAAGAAUCGAGAAAGAAAACUAUGGAGCAGGGAAUGCAGAAGUUUUGGAUAUUAGGGAUGAUGAUGUUGGGUUACUGAAGCAUGCUCCUCCCCCAGUUCAACUUUCACCGGACUCCUUGUCUGAUCCAUUUUGGGCCGACAGUUCAACCAUAACCCCGCAUUCCUACUAGCAGUUGAGAUUUCCUAAUCCUUUUCAGCUUUAAAUUCCAGUUUUGUUACCAUCAAUUAUCAGAUAUCAAUGAGUUUUGAGUUCUACUAUCUUUCACUUCUUGUUGAUUUGUUGUUAACACACACAAAAAAAUGCGGUCUACAUCUCUGUAGAAGCUGCACUUUGAGCCAGGCCAUCAAGCACAAUUAUUGCUCUUACAUGGGGUGGAUUUAUAAAAUGCUGCUAUGAUUGUUUGCUAAUGUUCAAAUGUUUGAAUGAAGAUUUCGUUUUCAAUAAGUUAGAAUGCAUUACUUACAACCGUUUUAAAAGUCGUUGUUUCUUCUGUUACAGAUGGUAAAGGGUGAGAACAGUUUGGCUGAGUUCCUGCGAGCUAGGAUGGCUAUCUGUUCCAGUUCAACCUCGCCUGUCAAAUGAGGCGUUUGCUCGAAUUUGGUGGCAAAAAUCUUUGGCCGUGACUCCAGCAAGAUUUGCUAUUGUCCUCCCUGUAUAGUACCGGAAAGCAUCAAGGAUCCGGCGAGAGACUCUCUCAACGGGACUAGAUACCAAACGAUGAUUUGGGAUGCUGUUGUUGAUACAUGGGAAUUCUGAAGUAUAUUUUGGAGACUUCUUUUUUAAUUUUGAUUUUGUAAAUACGAAUAACGAAGUCUAAAUAAUUUAACACUUCAUGAAACAUGUCUGUCUACUCCCUUUUCUCUGCUUGAUCCAGACUCCUAUAUCCUGGCAAACCCAAAAAAAAAAAAGAGUCAUAACCACCACUAGAUCUAAAUAAUUGCACAUACAAGUACAAAAACAAAAAGAAAAAAGAUUUAUACUUUGCAUUUGAUCUGGACAAAGUAUCCUUGAAUCAGCUUUUUAUUUUUAAAAAAAAUAAUAAUUUCACAUCUAGAUCUUAUAUUCACCAAAAAAAAAUUUCAUGAACUCUCCUAUCACCACAGCAAAAGCUUUACUAUUGUUAAACUUGUUUUAGCAUAAACACCACUAAUUCUUUAAUCCAACUAUGUGUAUUUUUAAUAUUAUAAUAUUUUUUUUAGUUAUGGUUGUAAAAAAAAUAUUUUUAGUUAUAAUUUUAAAAAAGAAAAAUUUAAAGAAAUUAAGUGUUUGGUUCUAAGAAAUAUGUUUUUUUGUUAAAACUGCUAUGAAACAUAUUUUUGAAUGUAAAAUAAUUGAAAAGUAUAUUUUUAUAAAUAAAAAAUAUGUUAUUUUAAUUUUUACAAAAUCAAGGUUUGAUUUAUAAUUAUAUAUAAAAUAUAAUGCAAAAAAAAAAAAUAUAUAUAUAUAUAUAUAUAUAUUACUAACUAAACAAUUUCUUUCUCUUAGGAGAUAAAAAUAAAAGCUACGGAAUGUCAAUUCAUUUCUAAAAAACCAUGCUAUUCUAAAAAUAAUCAUGAAAAUCAUUACAAUAUUGGACUUCACCAUACGUGGAAUGGUAGGACAAAACCGGCAAUUCAUUUUUUCUCUAAAUAAGACAACCAAUAUUAUUAUUAUUAUUAUUAUUAUGAAGACAUAAACUUUGUCCUUGGCCACAUUAGAUUAGAUCAUACUAGGUAGUCUAUCACGUGCAAUUUCCGUUACCAAACCUCAUUAGUCAUCGCCUCAAACUCUCUUGAAACAAAGACACAAAUCCAUUUCUCACACUUUCACUUGCGUCGGCUCCAUAAUCCCAAGCCUCCCACUCUCCGCCACUUGUCACCACAUACCCAUCACCACCCCUUCGAAUCCAAACACCAGAAAAAAUAAAACAACCCCUCUCCCCUUCUUCUCCUCCACAAGAUCAAAACGAAAAGAAACCCAGAUGGGGUUUUAAAUCUCAAUAGAUCUCAGAGCUUUUGAGAGAGAGAAGUCUUGGGGUUUUCUUGCUUUUCUUGAUUAAUGGCGACGCUGCAAAAAUUCAAGCUAUUAGCCACGCAAUGUGCAGUGACAGCCACACCAACACAAAGUCCAACGUCAAGUCCGGUUUUUCACAUCCGCCGCAGGAGGAAGACUCUUCGGAUGCUACUCUCGAAGAAAUCCGAUGCUCGCUGGAGGGCUCCCCGGCGAGAAGAUCAGUCGGAGGUGGAGGAAGAUCCGUUGCCCGAGAAGAGGGUGAGGAGGAAAUUGAAGGAUUUGUUUGUGUCUUCCCCGCCCUUUGAGCAGGAGAGGAGGGGUGGCGAGCGUGGUGGUGGCGAGGAGGUGGGGUUGAUUAGUGGCGGCGGAGCCGCGUUGAGAAGAGGUGGCGGGGGCGGCGCGUUGAGACCGGUGGCGGCGACGUUUAGAUAUAGAUUGUUAAGGAGAGCUUGGAGACCUGUAUUAGUUACUAUCCCCGAAUAAUUCUUACCGAUAAAUGGAAAUAUUUUUGUUUCUUUUGUUUAUUCUGUGAAGUAAUUGUUUAUCUCCUUUGUCAAGUACAUAUUUUUUUCCGGUGUUUUAAUGAUGCUAGGAGCUAUUGAUUCUCAAAGAAGAUGAUGGUAGAUUUUUAGAGAAAUUAACAAAAAAAAAUAUAGUUGUAUUAGUAAAUUAAUGGUCUUUUACUUUUAGUCUCAAGAACACAUUGAAAUUAAAUUCAGCUUUUAGCCUGGUCUGAAGGUGAUUAUUCUUGCUGAAAACUCCGUGAGAGAAUGCCAAUUGGGAGUAGUAAUCUUUGAAUUUGAUUUGAACACAAUAGUAAGACUGGAAAUUGAUUUGAGUUUUGUUUUGCUCAUUAUUGCAUUAUGCGCUUAUAAGUCAAGAAAGGGUAUGGUAAUUUUUUUUAUUAUUAAUAUUGGUGUUUGGAUUAAUUUUAAUAUUUUUUAAUAAAUUUUACGAGUUUUAAAUAGUGAUUACAAUUUUAAAAUAUGAUUUGAAUGGUAAAUGGAUUUAUUCAUGUUUUUAUUUUAAAUUAUGUUUAAGGGAUUAUAAAAAAAUAAGUUUAAUAUAAAUACAUCAAUGUGAAUGUAAAUGUGCUUGACAUUGACAUAUGGAAAAAAGGAAUGAUUUCAAGUGAUAAAUAUAUCAAAUACUAAUACAAUAAAAAAUAAAAAUCUUAACAAUUAAACUAGAAAAACAAAAUAUAUUAACUUGUUUGGAACGUAUAAAAUUAUUGAUAGAUAAUUGAUAAUUGGAUUCUUUAAGCAUAUUAGAAGAAAAAAUAUUUAUUUUUGAUUAUUUUUUAUAAAUUAAUUUUUAUUUAAAAACUCUAAAUAGAUAUAACCAUAUAAAAUUAAAUUUAAUUCAAAGAAUCUCAAUCAACUCACAAGCUAAACAAUGAAAAUAGAAAGGGAAAGACAAACAAAGCGUACGUUAGCAGGAGUGGCGCAUUUUAUCAUAGUGUGACAAGGAGAUGGUGGCAGAGAGAAGGGUCAAGGGAAUGCUUUUUGUUAGCUACAUAAUUAUUUGUAUAAAUAUUUUUUUGUUAUUUAUACGAGAGAAACGAAGAUUCCACUGAAUGGGUUGACUUGUCGAAGAGUUUUUGUUAUCAAGGUGGGGUAGAGCAGAGCACUGAAGGUGCUAUAGAUUAUGCAGACAGAGAUACGGAGGAAUUAAUAAUUCUUAGUAUAAAGUCUCUGUCUACGGCAGCUACCUUGUGUUGAUGUUAUAUAAUUAUAUCCAGAAAUUGUUUGAUGAAGGGUUGUGUGCCUUUCAAUUAUUUGUAGAUCCAUAGUGGAAAUGUGGAUCAUACGUGCAUGGUCAUUAUUGGAUGUAAAUUUAUUAUUGAGAACGUUGAGGAUUAAAUGACUGAUUGAAAGUGGGGUAAGGACGGUAUUUUAAGAUAUUUUUUAUUUGAAAAUAUAUUAAAAUAAUUUUUAUUUAUUUUUUAUAUUAAUAUAUUAAAAUAAUCCAAAAAUAUUAUUAAAUUGAUCUGAAAUAAAAAACAAACUUUAAAAAAUGAUGAAACAACUAUUCAACUGCGAUGUAAAUAGACAAGUAUUUGUUUGAUUUUAUGUUACUUUUUAUUUUUCAAAGAAUUUUUUUAAAAUAAUUUUUUACCUGAAAAAGUAUCAAAUUUAUAUUUAUAUAUUUAUACACAUGCAUUGUUUUUCUUAUUUUAUUUUCUUAAGGUUAGUCGUUGAGGUUUUGAAAAUAAUUUUUUUUGAAAUAAAAUUAUGAGCAUAAAUAUAUGAUUUAUAGAAAACAAAAGUCUUAAUUUUUAAACAGAUAUACUUAGUUAUCCUCUCAACUCUUAUAUUGUCCAUUACAUUUAAAUUGUUUACCUAACUUUGACCAAGUUCAAGAUUUGACAAAUAGGGACUGCUUGAUUUAAAAAAAAAAAGAGGGACUAAAUUGUAUUUAUUGUUAAACAAGAUGACCAAGAAAUUCAUAUUAGAGGCUUAUUUAUAAGAAAAUGAGAUAUAGGGACCAAAGUAAGUUUUUAAAUAAAUUUUAGGAUUUGAAAUGUACAUUAGUUAAAUAUUUCAUAAUAUGAGCAGUUAACACGUUUUAUUAUUUAAUGAUAUUAGUUACAUCAACUAAUGGAAGGACCUUAAAACGAUAAAAAUAUAAUGUACAUAGAUAUCUUAAGACAAAAAAAAUUAGUUAAAGGACCUUUUAAACACAAAAAAAGAGUAUAGGGAUGUGCAACAUUGUUACCCCGUGUCUAGUGUUGUCCGAUUUGAUUGAGUGAAUUUUUUUCCUUGUCUUAUUAGUAUUUAUUUAAAAAUGUGUACUUUAUUUUUAAAAAAAAAUUAUGCGUAUGUGUUGUUUCUGUGUGGAUUUGUAGUUUGAGAAGAGAAAAGAAAAAAUAUUAUUAUUAUUAUUAUUAUUUAAUUAGUAUGGAUAUCCAAACCAGUUUGCAUAUACUUCGACUAAUUUUAUAAAUCUUGAAGUUAAUGAUUAUGUAAAUCUCCAGUGAUCUUGAGAUUUGUAAGACUCGAACGGUUGAUCUAUAGUAAGCAAAUUCAAAACUUGACUAAUUAAACUAUAUUCUUUAUUAUUAUAUAUAUAACACGCCUUUGAACUGCUAACUCCGGCCAGCAGCCUCCAUUAUUUAAGGGCCCUUUGGAUACCCUAAAGAUCCAGUUUGCCCCAAAGUGAUAACAGCUUGCUUUGGAGCUCGGCCUAAAGAACCUUGCUUCCCUAAUCAAGUAGGUUAUCUUUGCUUGUCAUCAUUUUGAUUCAUUUUCUUUGUGUAUUUUUUUUUUAUUUUAAUAUAUUAACUAUUGAGUGAUUGGAUUGAGAUCUCAUUAUCAAUAUUCAAUAAGAAAAACCAUCUUUUUCAAUCACCAAAUCAUCUCAAAAUAUUAUGCAAAUAACAUUCCAUUAUGAAAACCACUUUCAACUUCAAACUCGAACAUGAAAUUUUUAUUUUUAUUUUUAAAAUCUAAAAUUUUCAAGCUCUAAGACUCGUAAAUCCAAUAUUGAUAGUGAUGCAGGUGAAAGCAAUUAAAUAAAGAACACAUAAUGUUUUAAUGAACAAAAAAAACUACAAAUAAGAACUCAAGUUUAUCUUUUCUAAAAUAAUGAUAAUAAAAUAUGUCUCUUUAAGAGGUUUACAAGUCUUAGAUAGAUCAAAAACCCUACAUAGAGAACAAAAAUAAAAAUCCAAGAAUACAAAAGAAAGAAGCAUAAAAUCCAAAUAAGUAAGAAAUUCAAAACAAAAACAAAAAAAAACUGUCAAAAUUGGAGGGUCUAGGCGAGAUUUUGAUGUCUAAAGAUUUGACAGUUCAUGCAACGAUACAAUGACUAUUAUAGAGAAAAUAGCUUUCGAAAAUUAUUAUAAAAAUUUGAGCGCAAUCUAAUAGUUGAAUAAAAAAAAUUAUAGUUUUUUUGAGCUAUUAUUUUGGUCCGACACAACUAAACAUACUCUUCAGCCUUAAUUUGUCUCGUUGGUCCAUAAAUAUAUCUAUUAGAUUAUAUACAUAAUAUAUUUAUGACAUAUUUUUAUUUAGUUAUGAUAGAUUUAUAUCUAACUACUAAAAAUUACUUAUUAUUGUAGACUUGAUUAUAUUAUAUAUGUUCAUAAAAAUUAAAUGUGGAUAAAAUCAAAUCGAUCUAACCUUUUAUUUAAAAGUAGUGCAGCCAGCAAUAAUGGCCAAGACCUAAUCAAAAGGAUCCUAAACCAAAUACUUACUAAUUCAAAUACUAAAAUUAAUGAAAAAGGAAAAAAGAAAUGUUAAUUAAAAAAAAUGGCACUCCAUUUCGUUGUUAAAUUUGCCGAAUUCGAAGUAGAUUUUGCGUCAACGGAAGCAUGACGUUCAGAUGCUCCUCUUUUCUUUAUUAUAUUUUUUUCUGUCCUCUGGUUGACUUUCAAAUUCUCUUGUUUUCAAUUCAAAGGAAAUUGGCGUGGUUGGUUUUACGUCCAAAUAGCCUUUAGGGUACGCCAUUGACUAUUGAGUAUUGAAUGCCUAAAAAUUAUCGACCAAACUAGAUAAUAAAUAUGCAGGGAAAACAUGCAUGAUUCCUUGUAUUUAUGUUAUGUUAGAAUCAAUUAUCAUUUAUAUCUUUGUUUUUUUUUAUUAUUAAUAUGUCUCGAUCAAUUUACAUGCAUUUACAUGCAUGUUGACUAAUCCCAUGAAUAUUUAUAUCUUUAUUGAUUAGAAAGGAACUAGAUUUGUAUUUCUGCAGGAGUAUAUAUAUAUAAAACUAAUGUCCAUACUCUGCAAACACUUAUUAAAGAAGUGAAAAUAAUUUGAUUAAAUAAAUUAAUUUUAUUUUAAUUAGAUUAUAAAAAAACAAUGAAAACAAGUGGACCAAAAAACAUAUGAUCACAGUGACUUGACAUAAAAAACUUUUUUUUCAAAAAAAAAUUAAAAAUAAUGCAGAUCAAUUCUCAGUCAAUUAAAUAUAAAAGAACAUAACCAAAUUUUAAAGAAUGAAACCAAAGAAAGAUUAAAAUUUCCUUUUUUUUAAAGCGACCCUAUAAAAAAAGUUAAGCUAAAUUAGAUAAACUUGUAACUCAAAUAAUAAAAUUGAAAUAACCUGAUAGAAAAAUAUAUAUAUAUAAUCAUGAUGACUUGACAGAAAAAACCUUUUUUUAAAAAAAAUAAAAAUAAUGUAGAUCACUUCUCAGUUAAUUAAAUACAGAAGAACAAAACUAGAUUUUAAAAAAUAAAACCAAAAACAAAUUAAAAAACAUUAAAACAAAAUUAUUUUAAAUUUUAAUCCUCAAACUUGUGAUUUGAGCUUUAGGCAAGGUCAUGAACUUAACAUAGUUUUUAUAACAUUAUUAGAUUUUAAGAAUGACAAAAAAAAAAAAAAUCUCUCGGACAAACUUUUUAGUCAUGGGAAAAUGAAAUUGUGAAUUGCAUUUGAUAAAUUAUAUACACAAAGGAAUUCAAGUUUCUCUUUUCCCCUUUCGAAGGCAAAAGAAUGCUUUCAGUAACCAGCAUUAAUAGCAAAAUGACCACCAUAUAUAAAACCACAGUACAGAUCUUUAAUUAUGAGAAAAGCAAUUGUUACUUCUUUUCAAUUUCUUUUUUAAAAUCACAUUUUCCAACUUUCACCGUUUAUAUUUUUUUUCCUUUCUGGGGAGCAGCUUAAGUGUCUUUCUUUGGUCCGAUGAACAAAAGAGAUAUACAGUUUCAUACAGAGCAAAUCCAAGGCUUUGAAGCCCAUAUUUACAAAUCCAAAAUCUUCUUCCAGGGCCUUUUAAAGUUAAGGGCUUUUCUGGUUUGCUGCUGGUUACUAAAGCCCAAAGGGGGACUCCAUGAAACUAAUUUGAGAUUCGAAACCCUGCCAUGAAUUCAAUUUACCUUCCCCUAUUUUUUCUUUUCAUGAUUAGUGGGAUAUUCUAGGCAGUUUAGUGAGACGAAAUUCCGUUUUUUGAGUGAUGUUAAUCCAAUUUUGGGAAUUACUUAGCAAGUCUCCACUUAAUUCUUAAUAAUCCAAUUUUUUCUAAAAGAAAAAAAAAAUCCGCAUGAAAAAACUAGCAUAAUCACAAAAAUAAAAGAAAAACUUAUGUCUAAAGUUGCAUUUAAUUACUAUUUCAGGAUAAAAUUAACAUUUACAUAAGAGAUAAAAAUAUAUUUAAUUAUAGGUUCUGUUUUGAUUUUAUAAUUAUUUUCUGGUCUCUAAUAUUAAAGUUAUAAUAUUUUAUAUUUUCUGCUUCAAUUCAAUUUUUAAUAAUAUUUUUAGUAUUCGUUAUAAGUUCUACCGAUAAUCCUUCCAACGAUCCUUAAUAGUCUUUAGGUUUAUAUUUUUUUUUUUGUUUUUGUUUUUCAUGUGAGUGAGAUAAUUUUUAAUACGCAAGUAAUAUAAAUAAUUUAUGCAUGUUAAUUAUAUGAUAAAUACAAAUGAUAUUCUUGAUAUAUGUUGAUUUAUUUUUUGAGUAUUCGUCAAUUUUUCAAAAUUGUAUUUACAUUCUGUUGAAUUAAUUUUAUUUAGUAGAUUAUUUGUUAUUUUUAAAAAAAUAUUAUUUUAAUAUAUUUUAAAAAUAUUUUAAAAAACAAUUCGAUGACACGUGACAUAAAAUAUAUGUGAUAUAGUACUUACUUUCUUUGACAUUUUAUCAGCAGCAUUAUCUUGUAAUGAUGUUGUAAGGUAUAAAACGGAUGUUUUAUCACAUUGUGGCUUUUUUGCUUUUGAUAUUAGAGUUUCGAUUCCAACUAUGACAAGGGAUUAAUUUGAUAAUCAAAAUAAAGAUGAGAAUCCAACUUUGAACAUAUAUUAUACGGAGAUAUAAAUAAAUAUAAUUUUCAGCAUUUAAUAAUAAUUGAAUAUGUGAUCUUUUGGUAAAAAUCAAAAGUUCAUUACCGAUGACCUAAAGGUCAAUUGGUUAAUACAUUGUUGUUUUUUUGCAUCUUUUGAUUGAUGUUUCCUGAAAAAUUUUAUAGUUCUCGUAGAAUAAUUAAUAAUAUUUUAAAAGAGAAUAUAAAAUUUAUAAUUUAAUAAAAAUAUCUCCACUUAGUAUUUUUCUCUUCUAGUUAUGCCUCUCUAUUUCUUUAAAAUAAAUUUAAAAAAUAAUUAAUAAACAAGCACUAUAAAAUUACUUGAUGUUUACCUAUUUUGAAUAGAAAUAAAAUUUCUACACCAUAAGUUUUCUUUCAAACAAACAAGAUAAUGGAACCCUCAUACCAAUAUAUUUAUACUAUAUUAUUAGAUCAUUGACUUGUAUUAUGUUGCAAGUCGGGUUAAAUUUUUCAUGAAUAUAAAAAAAAUUUAGAUAUCACUACCUUUUUUUUAGUGAAUUUUUUUUUAACCAUAUAAAGGUUGACUUAAUAUUAUUUGAUUGACUUUACAAGUCCAAAAGCAAUCCGGAUGACAUGUAAAGACAUAGUUUGACUCAAAUGUUUUUCAAGAUGAUAUUUUUUUUAAUAUGGUAAUAACAAUAUAUUGGAUUGACUUGAGUUAACCUAAAUUAACAUGUCAAACUCAUGAUCCGGGUUGUGAAAACUAUGAUAAACCCAUAGAAAACAAAUUAUAAAGCCCAAUUUUCAAUCAACCUAAUAUUGAAGGAUAAAAUUGAAAGAAAAAUCAAUAUAAAGGACAUAAAAAAGCGACCCAAAUUAACUUAUCAAAUUUGUAACUUGGGUCAUAAGAUCGAGAUAACUACAUGAAAGGAAAAAAAAUAUAAAGUUCAAUUCCCAAUCAGUCCAAUGUUAAAAAUAAAACUACAAAAAUCAAUGUUGAAGGACAUGAGACCGAUAUAAUCUCUUAGAAAUAAAAUAAAAACAAAGACUUGAUUUAACCGAGGUUAAAACAUCAAAACUCGCGACUCUGAUAUUGAGACCAAGGUAUCCUCAUAUAAAAUUAAUCAAAACAGAUUAUGAAGUUUAAUUUUCAAUUGACUCAAUAUUAAAUGAUAAUUUAAAAAAAUUAAUAAAAAAAAUACAAAAAAUAACUUGAGUCAACUCGGGUUAGUCCGUUAAGUACUAUUCUCGGGUAAUGAGAUCGGAAUAACUUAAUAUAAAGUAAAUAAAAUAAAUUAUGAAAUCUAAUUCCUAAUUAACUCAAUACUAAAAGAUAAAAUUAACAAAAAAAGUUAAAUAUAAAAAAAAAACCCUAGCUAACAGGGUUAACUUGCUAAACUCCCGACCUGUGUCAUGAGAGUGAGAUAACCCAAUAAAAAAUAAAUAUAAUACUAAGGGAUAAAUUAAAAUAGAAGAAGAAAACAAAGACAUAAAUGUUUUUUUAGUUUUAGGUUCGCACUGAAAAGUAUUAUUCAUGGCUAAUACCUAUAAUACUUCCUCAUAUGUUUUAGUUAAUUGCUAAUAAUUAAUUAAUAACAACAAUAAUUAUAAUAAUAAUUAGAGUAAAAUGGUGAAGAAGAUGACUCUUGAUAUGAUAGGGUGCCUGAAUCCAGCUUGUAUUGAUUUGUUGCCUUGAUUAGCCUUACUGAAGCCACGAGCAUGAUCCCCAAAUAGAAAGGCUUUGGGGCUUUUCCGAUGAAAGCAAAUGAAAAGACUUUUUAACGAAAAAUUAUGGAUUUUCAAGAGAAAAAUUGAACCAAAUAGGGAAAUGGAACGUUUCCUUUUCUCUUCUUUCCUCUGCCGUCAUCACACGACCAGAGAACUUAUCCCUUUUCUAGUUUGGUUCCUGUCCUUUUCUUUCCCUCAACAAACUUCAGAAUUCUGGGCCAGAAAUGAAAUAAAAAAUAAUAUUUAGUCCAAGUGUUUAAUAAAUAUGAAAUUAUGUGAUAUAAAUAAUGAAGAACAUUUCACAAUAGCAAAAAGGAAAAAAGAAAAAUCCACUAAGUUAUUAUUGUUAACGUGACAAUAACUAAAUAAUGUUAGUCACGCGUUAUGGUUAGCGCGUGGGGUCCUCUUUCUUGCUCUUUAUAAUCUUUAAACGACAUGUCCUCUUUUGCCCACCACAGUUCCACCACAAGAGCAGAAAGUGUCAGCAAGGUGUUCAUAUGCCUCACGUACGUCAUUACAGGACCACUACCAACCAACGUUAUGAAAAUUAAAUACCUCCUUCUUAUAAAAACAAUAAAUUAAAAACCACCUACCAAAUAUUUAAAAAACGGUUCAAAAUUAUGGUAAUGAUUAUAAUUUAAAAUAUUUUUAUAUAGAAAUAUAUUAAGAUAAUAAUUUUUAUUUUUUAAAAAUUAAUUUUGAUAUUAGCGUAUUAAAAUAAUUUAAAAUACUAAAAAAAUUAUAAUCUAAUUUUAAAUAAAAAAAAUUAAAAUUUUUAAAAAUACAUUAGCCCGGCUACCAAACAUACUAGAAGAAGAAACCCACCUUGAAAUCACAGUCCACACAUCAGCAUUUUCCAAGCAUGUACACGUCAAAUGAUAUUUUUUUUAUUAGAAUAUUAAAAACUUUAAAAAAUAUUUAAAAAGUAUUAAUUUAUUUUUUUAAUGCAAAAAAAUACAUAAGCUAUCGUAAUGCCAGCAAGCCUUACACUAUGAAAAGAACCAUUGAUAAUCUAAUUUCAAGUCAUAUGCACAUGCAUAGUUAUUAAAAUUAUCUAAUUUCAAGUCACAUGGCAUGAGUUCAAGAUUACAUAUCAAUCAAGGUAAUCCACAUCAAUUAAAUUAUUUUAAAAAAAUUAAAAUUAUAUCAUUUUAUUAUUUUUUGAAAGUAAAUAUGUUUUUUUUUUUCAUUUAGUCAAACAAUUUACAAAUUGACCAAGUUAAUUCUCGGUUGAUUUUUUUUGACACCUAACCUCAGCUAAGUUGAAGUCAACAUAAUUUUAUUUUCAAGUUAAUGUAGUUUUAUUGUAUUAAUAUUUUUUUUAUAUAAUUUGAAAUUUAUUUGAAAUUAUAUAUAUAUUUUAAUUAAAAUGUAUUUGUGAGUAUGAUAAUGAUUAUUUUUUUAAAGUGCUUUUAACUUAUAAAUAUUUAAAAUAAUAUGUAUUUUUUAAAAAUUAUUUUAAUACUAUUAAUUUAAAAACAUUUUAAAAAUUCAAAAUUUUUAAAAUAUCAUUACAAACGCAUUCUCAAUCUUACAUCAAAUCAAAUAAUGUUUAAUAAAUAUGCUCUAAGAUACUGAUUGGACCCAAAUGGAUGGACGGUGCAUGACAUGAUGCUUGGAGAGUCCCUCACACAACCAAAACCCAAUGAACCACAAUGCACCCCCCAACUUCCCCUAACUAUAGUUGCCUUGAAGCAGUGUCCAUGUGCAGUAGUUUAAACUAUAGAGUAUAGAUUUUCUUGCUUUCCUGUCCAAAGUAAAAGGAAAGAGCUCCCCUUCCCUUUCUCACCUCCCUUCCUCUCAAUAACAAGUCGCCGUCGGUGGACAAUUCCCAACCCCUCUCUUCCUAACUAAGCUGAAAGCUAUAACUUCAAACGUUCCCAUAGUUCCUUGGAUUCCUUCUCCCUAACCCACGCGCCACUCUCCCCAACCCACGCGCCUCCACCACUUCUCUAAUCUGAUAAGAUCUGAACAAGGGUUCCCUUUUUAUGAAUCCAAAGCAUCUGAUGAUAGGGAAGAUAAUAACAACAACAUGGGCGGAGUCACUUCAACAAUUGCCGCGAAGUUCGCUUUCUUCCCACCAAACCCAGCUUCUUAUACGGUGGUAACUGAUGACUCUUCCUCCGCCGUGUCUGGAGGCUCCACCACCAGGCUGUAUAUACCCGAGGUGCCGAGGAAGGAUGACGUGGAUGUGCUGAAGUUGAGGACUCGGCGUGGAAAUGAAAUCGUGGCUGUUCAUAUUAAACAUCCAAGAGCUUCAGCUACUUUGCUGUAUUCUCAUGGAAAUGCUGCUGAUUUGGGUCAAAUGUUUGAGCUUUUUGUUGAAUUGAGCAAUCGCCUUCGCAUUAAUCUUAUGGGGUUAGAUCCUUAACUCUUUACCUUUUGAAGUAUUUUUCUUUUAAUAUUAUUGUUUGGUUUGGUUUGGUUUGUUUAGUUCUACUAAUUGAAAGUAUGGAACUUUAUGAGUGUUGGUUUGGUUGAUUUGGUGGGCUGGUGCAUUUUUAUUGGAUUUAUUGCUCUUCUGUAAUUUAUUGAUUAAGCGUAUGGGAGAGGCUUUCCAUGUAUAGUUUUGUUGUUUGAUGGAGAAAAGGUCUGUUUUUUAAUGUUUAUUGUUGAGUUUGAGGGUUGGCUCUUUAGUAGUGAACUUUGUGGUUGCGACAAGGAAGUAACGUAUGACUGCGGUGAGGGUAACGUUUACUCAACUGGUAUUGAAAGUGAGUUUGGGAACUCUAAUGGUGGAAAGAGAGGUUUAGGUGUGGGUUUUUUUCCUACAAGUCUGCAAUUUCCAUUUUGAGUAUUACCCAUUUGUUGGGAUUUGGGAGAGUUUGUUGAAAAUUAAAUACUAGUUUUAGCAAGGAUGGAAGCCAAGUUAUCGUUAGGGCAGUUGCAAACCCUGAAGUGAAUUGGGUCAGUCUUUAAUGUAGAUAUGCCUUUUUUCUGUCUUCUCUUAAAACCGUUGAUACAAAAUCACUGCUCUCACUGGCAUAUCUGAAAUCGAAUGAUGUUCAUGGCAGUAAGAAUGGUCUUUAAAGGUAGAUUUUAGGUUUUAACUUGACAUGGUUUAGUUUCAAAAUCACCAUUGGAAUGGUUUUUUUACCUUUCAGGAUAUGCCUUACAGAAGCAAUGUAGAAGUUAUGGUAUUUACUUGGCUACGCCACAUGAUAACUAGUGUACUUGUUCCUGUUGUAAUUUAAUGGAGAAAUAUAGGCGAAUAAUAACCUCAUAAUCUCUUAAAAAUUCAGAAGUGAUGCAAAGACAAAAGAAAAAAAAGUAUUCAUAUUCUUUAUAAAUCAUGUUCUUUUCAUUUCCUUUUUAAUUUUAUGUUACUGUUGUUUAUUUUCAGGUUAGUUUUUAAUAUUGAAUUUAUGUUUUUGUUUUUUCCAGAUAUGAUUACUCUGGCUACGGGCAAUCAAGCGGAAAGGUUUAUACCAGCUUUCCUAUUCCUGGUUGCUAAUGAUCAGAAGAAAGUUUUAGGCUCUGCUCGAGCUUUAACAAUUUCAUAUUUCCUUGUGGAUGUCUUUUUCUCAUGCAUGCUUAGAUAUCCUUGUUUCAGAACUUAGAUAUUCAAAUUCAAACAUGAAACAUGCAGAAGUUCCCCUUAUGCUUUUGAUUUGCAUAUUUUUCCCUCUUCAUCCAUAAAGCAAGAAUUAUAUGUUAAUUAUUACCUUGUUCAUUCUAUUUUACAUCUUCAAAAUUGUCUAUUAAUCAAGGACCUACUUGGCAUUAUGUGUAGUUUCUCAAUUGGUUAGUGUUGUUUGCUUGUAAUAUGUGGCAUUGCUCUCAACAUAUGCCACCUUUCUUUUGAAACAGCCAACUGAAUGUAACACAUAUGCGGACAUAGACGCGGCAUAUAAAUGCCUCAAGGAGCAGUAUGGGGUUAAAGAUGAUCAACUAAUAUUGUAUGGCCAGUCUGUUGGUAGUGGUCCCACAGUUGAUCUUGCUUCACGUUUACCAAACUUGAGAGGUGUGGUUCUGCAUAGCCCAAUAUUGUCUGGGAUGAGGGUAUUGUACCCAGUCAAAAGGACUUACUGGUUUGACAUUUACAAGGUUUUUUUUGUGGUGUUGAUUCUAUUAAAUAUGCCUGUUUAAUUCUCUGUGCGAGCACUUAAGUUACUUUCUCCUUUCAGAACAUUGACAAAAUUGGUAUGGUGAACUGUCGUGUUCUCAUAAUUCAUGUAAGUAUUAUUUCCCCGUCUUCAAUUUCUUUGAGCUGUUCAGUCUCUCUUUGGGACAUUAUUUUAUGCAUUGCAUGAGUUGUUGGCUAAAGUGAAAGAUGCAGGUCUUAUGGUUUUGAUAUUUCUUGUGCUAGAAUACAAAUUUUCAGACUAUCAUUGGAAAAAUUAAUAGCUGUGUAACCUCUAGAGAUAUGAAUACAGGAAUUCCUUAGCAUCACAGUUUCACUGGAAGCUUUCAACAGGAUGUAACUAUGGUUGCAGUCAUAACUCAUAAACCAAGCAAAUAAUACGAGGAAAGAGUCUUAAUAGCAACUGCUAGCCUGUAUUCAGUGUCAACCUAAUUCAAUUUGGUUGUUAACAAUUGAGCUUUUCCUAUACCAUUGAUAAUAUGAUUUAAUUAAUAAAAAGCCCAAGACGGAGUAAAAUUACAAAAAAAAGAAGGUCUCUUUAAACCUUAUUUUUUAAUUAUUCAUUUGCUAAGGGUGUAAAGGUGGCCUGAUUGACUUCCUUGGAUAUGUAGUUUGCAAUAAACUGCUUUGACAUUUGGGUAAUCAUGUACUUGCUUAACCUGGAUAGUUUUGCACAGACAAGUUCAAUUUAUAUUUUAUUUUUGUUUCUAUAAAUCAGAAGGAUAAAACAAAAUGUUAAUAUUUGUUGAUCCUCCAUUUGGUUGCUAGAGUUUUUUGUUAUAUUGUUCAAUUUGCAGUUAUCUGUAUGUACAAUCAUAGUUAAUAGUCAGAGAUUUAUGGCUCAUCACUCUUAAAAUAUCGUUUAUGGAAAUUAGAGAUAAAAUCACAUUGGAUAUAAGGGAUUUUAAUAUAUUUUUUUUAACUUCAGGGAACAUCAGAUGAAGUGGUUGAUUGCUCUCACGGGAAACAACUUUGGGAGCUUUGCAAAGAGAAAUAUGAACCAUUGUGGAUCAAUGGAGGUGGGCAUUGCAAUCUUGAGCUUUACCCAGAAUUUAUCAAACAUCUGAAGAAGUUUGUUUUGACCAUAGGCAAAUCAAAAACAGCUACAAACGGUCCUAAAACAACAGCAGAGUCUGAAAAUCAGAACAAACCAUCUGAGAGUGCAAGUUCAGACACUUUUGAACUGGGUGACCUUCCUGAAAUCUCUAGAAAUAGCUUAGAUAGUAGGCUUGAGAAGUCUAAGAAGCCAAAUAAGCCUGAAAAGUCUCGGAUGAGCACUGACCGUGUUGAUAGAUUUAGAAGAAGAAAAGGCUUGGUCUGGUGAUUAUUUAUGCCAAGAGCUUCAUAAAUAAAAUACAUGCAUUGGUUGACUUGAGAAGGUAAUUUAAUUUCACCCCUGCUUUGUAAUGUGCAUUGAGUCUAGUACAAAUUAUUAGAUUGAGUGUAAUUUUCCAUAUAAAUGUUGUAUCUGUACGAAUGCUUAGAACGUGAGUCAAAUUAAGCGAAAUCUUGUAUUUUAACUCUGAGCUGUUCAUUUGAAGAUAAAAUCAUGUAUUCGCAACUAUCACGUGUAGCCAUUUUUCGUUUUUCCUUCUCUGUAGAUUUGAGAAAGUUUUAUAUGCUUAUCUGGUGCUGACCAUUUUCUUUCUUGGUCAUGAUUUACAUCAACAAACUAGAAACGUUUAUGUUUUUGCUUUUUGGAUUCUUCAACUCAGAUUUGUGAAACGUUCUGCAUGUUGCUGGACAUCCUGAGUGAUUUUGAUAUCAGGGCAUUUAGUACAUCCAGGAAAGAAUCGAAAGAUUUCCUGUUUUUCUUCUUCUUUGGGAUAUGUUUCAAGGACAGUGACAUCCUUGCUCUGCAAAGCAGAGUCAAAGAAUAUGCUUAUCAACAGUGCGUUAAACUUCUUUCACCAUGUCGAGCUAUGUGUCCCCGUUCUCCAUUUCUCAUUUCUCUUUGAACCAAAAUUUUAUACUGUCCUCAAAGUUUCCACUGAACAUUCAAGCAGGUCAAACCUAUUUUUUACUGGUAGCCAUACUCUUCAUUUCUUGGCAGCUUGUGUUUUUGUGAAGUAAUGAAUUAAGUUUUUGUCUUUUUGAACUGCAAUGAACACCUCCGUUGGUAUGAAAGUCAGAUGAAAGGAAUACAAGUCAGUCAAGGGAGGGUUUAUUGACCAACCAAUUAAAAGAACAAUGCGCCUCGCAAACACUAGCUGCUCUGGUUACCAGUCUGCGGAACAAUUUGCAUAUUGACAAAUGAGGGAGACAUAGUGCCAUCUAUGGGCUGCUGGACUAAAAUGGAGGAGUCUAAUUUGUAAAAAUCACUGGAGAUGUUCAGGCAACUGAAAUAAAAACUCUAGAGGCUUCAAUCAAAAAGUCUCUCGUACUCAAUUCCGUAGACAAUUGCUACCCAUGCAUAUUGGUACUAUGUUGAGGGCACAGAAAGAUGCAACCGUGUUCAUCUUGAUCUUAGCUCUUAGCUAAAUGCAGAGCUUUGAUUCUCUCCAAAGGCACGAGCAGCUCUUCCUGCUAGGGUUCUUCUUGAGUGAUGAAGGCACUAAGAGAUUUCAAAAUCAUAAAGUGCCAUGCAGUAUAGCAGGUAGAGUCCUCCCGCUAUCGGAUUGAAGCUUCUUACUUUAGACCUAGUCAUGCUACAUGUUCACUCAGUAUUUUACUUUUCAACGGAUUCACGUGUGGAAUUCUAUUAUUCAUGAGUGGAAUUCAGUACGGCGUGAAAAAGAAAAAGAAUUGAGGUCCAUUUUUCUCCAAUAUCUACAGAUUGUCCCUGUAACCUCUCUCCAUCUCCGAAAUGCAAUGCCAUCAUUUUAUUUGGUUAGUUUUUUAGAAUUAAUUUCCCAAACUAUGCGAGGAUUUUUUUGCGUGUCCUUUAAUAUAUUUGACCGAUUCUGUUCUCUUCUUUUAGUCCCCAAGACAGUGAUGCAUCAUAGCAUACGAAGACUUCAUUUUGCAAAUAGAGGCCUCGUUGAAAGAAAUUAGUGUGGUAGCCCUUUCCCAAGAAACAAAUAAAUUAAAAACUUCCACCAAGCAUUUAAAUCCAAGUAUUGCGUUCACAUCUAUCCCUUUCUGAUGUAUUUAUUUACCUGAAAUUGAUAAUUAGCACGUCAAGACUCAUCUCUUUAUCCUCGAAACAACCACGCCCAUUUUGCUAGCACACAAUUCCAUUUCUCCUAUGCUACUUCCUCUUGCCAGAAUGAAUUCCUCGGCCUUUUCUUUUCUUUCAGAUUUUGUUCUUGUAUUGUUGCUCUUCAUUCAAGUCCCUUCAUCCUCGAGCAACGAUGACCUGUUCACUGCCUGUAGUAAAAAGUUUGUAUGUGGGGAUAUCUCCGCGGGUUUUCCAUUCUGGGGAAAUGACAGACCACGUGCCUGUGGCCUUCCUGAAUUGGAGCUCAGGUGUGAGAAUAAUGAGAUCGCCAAGAUGAAUAUCAGUCAGGUUGCAUAUCGUGUUUUGGAAAUCAAUCCGGAAAAGGGAUUUCUCAGGAUUGCAAGAGAGGACUACUCGGUUGGAUUGUGUCCACCUCACUUUAUGAACUGCACGUUCAAUCCUAAGGUUUUCGAGUCUGAUAUUGAGGGUUACAAAAAUCUUACAAUCUUUUACGGUUGCAAGGAUGCUGCAACCAUACCUGCAGGUACAAUACCUUUCACUUGCAAAAUAAAUGAGGUUAAUGAUCAACGUGGUUAUCUCCAAUUAGAAGGAGAUAAUGGUCCAGGGGAAUGCAAUCGUAGUGUCUUAGUGCCCGUUUCGACAACAGAUAUUUGGCCACCAAUCAAGGAUCUGCCAGGUUGGGAAGAACUCCUGAGAAAAGGAUUUGAGGUAAGAUGGAAGGUCGAUUGGGAGGCGUGUUCGGAAUGCUUCAGGUCUUUAGGAGUUUGUGGUAUUGACAAAGUAAAUCAAACAACUUGUUACUGUCCAAAUCAAUCAAGAGGAUCAAAAACAUGUCCUCCUCCAGCUCGAGGUAUGUACCUCAACUUCUCCUCGAAUCAGUUGAUGAUGAACUCCAGUCACUUGUUGAUGCUUCACACACCUUAAUUAGUUCCGUUCCUGUUUUGUUAUUUUAAUUUUAUUUUAAUUAGACUUGGACAGAAGUAAACAUCAAUAUGAUGACUUGGACAGAUGUGUUUGUUAAUUGAGUGUUGAGUUGCCACCAACCAAUAGCUUACCAACAAAAAAAAAAAUAAAGAAUUAAUUGUUAUAGGCAUCAAAGAAAUAAAGAUUUAAGAGACACAUUAAAGUCUAAGCAUUUAACAUGUUACUAAUUUAGAAAUUUUAAUUCAGGUUUAGGAGAUUUUAUUUUAUUUUUAUUUUAUUUUAUUUUUUAAUAUUUUUAAAACUUAUAUUUUUUUAGUUUUAUUUUUUAAUAUUUGAUUUAAUUAGAUAUUAAACUUCAUAAUUUAUUUAUUUAUUUUAUAUAUAAUUUUUCAUUUAUUUUAAAAAUAAAUAGAUGGUAUAUUUUUUCUGUAACAUAAUAAAUAGUUAAAGGAAAAGGAAAAGAGACUGUGAUUGCAUGCGGAAGAAUCUCAUCCAAUAAACAAUCUAAUCAAUAAUGAUAUUUUCAGUUGGGAUUACCAAAUCUAAUCAACAUAAAAUUCAAUUUUCAAUAAAUAUAAUUUUAAAAGAUAUAAUUAAAAUUAAAAAUAAUAUUGUUUAAAAAAAUAAUAUUUUAUAAAAAGAGAUACAAUAAAAUACCUUUUCGUUUAGUAAAGUCAAGUGAGGCCUUGUCUCUGUCACUGAAACCCAAUGUCACGCAAUCGAUUUCAACCUUCUAUUUAAUUUGAUUUGAUUUAAUUUAAUUUAUAUACCUCUAUUUCUUUGUUGACUAGCCCAGUCCAUACUCAAAGUGCGUUUUUUUAUUGGUCGCAUGUGGGGAUAUCACAGGACAUUUUACUUACAUGACCGUAGCUUUAAAACAAAUAAUUCAAUUUUACGGACGUUAUUAAUUAGUUUCUUUGGAUCGGAUAAAAAUGUUUUUGAAUAUAAAAAAAAUUCUCAAGCCACGUCGAAGUGACAUUGUUAUCAGUGCGGCUGGGUUUCUUUUUUCUUAGUUUUUUCCCCUAUGUUUUUGUACUUUUUUUUCAAGUUCAUAGUUAGAUUAAAAUUAUUUUUUAUUAUUAGGUUGAUAAUAAAUUAUUUUUUAUAGUUUUUAUCAUAAAAUAAAAUAAAAAAUUAAAUUGACAAAGUUGAGUUCAUAAUCUUAUUUACGGGUUUGAUAUGUUAGACUAAACAUUAAUAAAAAAGUCGGGGUUAGGGUUUUUUGACACUUUUUUUUAUAUAUAUCUUUAGGGUUUUUUUUUGUCAUUUUUAUUAUUUAAUGUGAGGUUUUAUUAAAUUUUAUCAUUUAAUAUUUGAUUAAUAAUAAAUUAAUCUUGGUAUUUUCAAUUAUAUAAUAAAAUAAAAAUUAAUUCGACUCAAAGAAGUUCAUAACACAAGUCAUGGUUGACAAAUCGACUAAAUAUCAAUAAAAAAAUUGGAUAGGAAUUUUCAACCUCUAAAUGAAUUUAUUGUGUCAUAUAUAUACCAUAUAAAUAAAUCUAAUAAUUAACAUUAUUUGAUGUCCUGUUACAGGAUCUUCUUGGAGUCGUCGGCGACUACAUAUUGCUGUAGGUAAAUAUUAAUUAUCAUAAGAAAUCCAAUCUUUUCAUUUGAUGAUGAUGGUAUUGAUAAUAAUGCAUCUUAAAUUACAGGCAUAUCAACAACUAUGGCAACGAUAAUAACUUUUUCUAUAAUUAUAAUAUGUCUCACUAGAAGAAAAGGUUCAUUUAGUGCCGUCAUAGCAAAGUUCGCCAGGCUGAAGAAUUCGCAACAUGUUGAAAGUGUUGAAACAUUUAUGAUGGACUACCAUUCUCUUACUCCAAAGCGUUAUUCAUAUUCAGAUAUCAAGAAAAUAACCAACUCAUUCGUCAAUAUACUAGGUCAGGGGGGAUUUGGUUAUGUAUACAAAGGAAAGUUACCAGACGGUAGUCUCGCGGCUAUAAAAGUUUUGAAAGAGUCCAAAGGUGAUGGAGAAGAGUUCAUGAAUGAAGUUGCAAGCAUCAGUAGAACUUCCCACGUGAAUGUAGUUACCCUUUUGGGUUUCUGCUUCGAGAGGAAUAAAAGAGCUUUGAUUUAUGAAUUCAUGCCCAAUGGAUCUUUAGAUAGCUUUAUAUUUGAUAAAGGAUCCCCACAUACAAACUGUCGUUUAGAAUGGAAAAAAUUAUAUGAAAUUGCAGUUGGCAUUGCUAGAGGUCUAGAGUACUUGCAUAGAGGUUGUAACACUCGGAUCGUGCAUUUUGACAUAAAGCCUCAAAACAUUCUUCUUGAUGACGACUUUUGUCCAAAGAUCUCAGAUUUUGGUCUCGCGAAGCUAUGCCAGACCAAAGUAAGUAAGAUUUCGAUGAUAGGUGCAAGAGGGACUGCUGGUUACAUAGCACCUGAAGUAUUCUGCAGAUCUUUUGGAGGAGUAACUUACAAGUCUGAUGUGUAUAGUUAUGGAAUGAUGGUUCUUGAAAUGGUGGGGCAAAGGAAAGACUUUGAUAUGGGAUCUUUGGAAACCAACGAGAUGUAUUUCCCGGAUUGGUUUUAUAUGUAUCUUGAACCAGGAAAGAUUUCAACACUUCAUGGAGGUACAACGGAAGAGGAAGAAGAGAUUGUUGAAAAGAUGAUUUUAGUGGGUCUGUGGUGCAUCCAAACCAUUCCAUCACAUAGACCAUCAAUGACAAAGGUUGUAGAGAUGUUUGAAGGCAGUCUUCAGUCUUUGCAAAUUCCACCGAGACCUUCCCUUUCCUCUCCUAGAAGGUCCGCUCAAGAUCACUCUUCCAUUGUUUCGUCACUACCUUGUGUGUCAUCCCAGGAGGGUGGGGGAAACAUAUUGUCUGCAGAUGAUAGUGACUUGUAACUGGAAAUUGCAAAUUUUAUCUAGCCUGAAAAAAAAAAAAACUUGUAUUUGUUCUUCAUCUAAUUGCUGCUCUUGGUUGAAUUAAUUUUUCUAUGAUAUAACUCAUGCACGGGAGGAAACUCUCACAGUGCUGGUAAGAGACACUAUCCUCUCACCUUUAUUUUUUUUUUGGUCCGUGAUGUUAACAAAUUCUAGUAUGUACUUGAUGUUGAAUAUGUGGGAAGUGUAGAAUUGAUCUGUUCCUGCUUGUCAUUGUUUACAAUUUCAAAGGGUAGACAAGACUCAGAGGUUGAGCUUAUUAUUAAUUACUUGUGGUUAAGGUCUCUGUAGUUUAACAGAUAGCAGGUGGAAGAAUGGUCGAAAAUGGAAGGCUUCUAAUUUUCCUCUUAAGAAUGUUAGGAUACUGGCAUGCAAACCCGACAAGACAAAAGGUAAAGGAUAUGAUAAAAUGAGAAAUGACACACACAAGAAUUUACGUGGUUCACCCAAUUAGGCUACGUCCACGGGCAAGUAUAGAAGGAUUUUACUAAGUAAUGUGAGAAUUACAACCUCUCUCAAAUAAUAGGAGAACAACUAAGAAUCUCUCUAUUACUAGGAGAAAACACCUCACUUACUCUCUCACAAAUACCUCACAACUUUGUGGGAUUAUUUUCCUUCUUCACUCUCCUCUUCCUCUCUUGUUUCUCUCUUAUGGUGUGUUUACAAUGCUUGGAUGCAUUGCCUAUUUAUAGGCAAACAUCCAUGCAAAUACAAGGGGCAAGGCAAGUGUCACAAGUUUGGUGCCUACAAUUUGUGACUAAGGAAGGAUGGCUUUACCACCAUUGUUGACUCCCACCAUUGUUGACUUAGGUGGUUGGUUUCACAUUCUCCCACUUGAAAACUUUGAUGAUUGAAUCAAGUCUUCACACUUCAUCAGUUGUGAUUCUUCUAUCCUUUCAAUACUUGCUAUCUUCAUGCUGCUUACGUUUCUGCUAGGCCACAAGAGGAUCUGCACCAUAUAUACUUAUCAGUGUUGACUGGUUUGGUUAAAGCAUCUGUUGGGUUUUCCUUUGUGUGAACCUUCUGAAAAUCCACACUUCCAUCUUCCACCACUUCGCGAACAAAGUGAUACUGAACAUCUAUAUGUUUUGUUCUUGAAUGAAACGCUAGAUUCCUUGCAAUAUGCAAGGCACUCUAACUAUCACAAUACAAAAGAAUCUUCUCUUGUUUGUGCCCAAGCUCCUCCAUAAGUUUCUUCAGCCAUAUUGCUUCUUUACAAGCCUGUGUAGCUGCCAUAUACUCAGCUUCUGUUGUGGAUAACGCUACAACAGUCUGAAGUUUAGAGACCCAGCUCACAACUCCUCCUACAAUUAUAAACACAUAGCCUGUAGUGGAUUUUCUUUUCUCAAGGUCACCAGCAAAAUCUGAGUCAACAUAAUCUCUGAUAGUAAAUUCUGAUCCUCCAUAACAUAAUGUGGCAUCUGAGGUACCCUUGAUGUAUCUCAAGAUCCUCUUAAUAGUAUUCCAAUGCUCUCUACCAGGAUUUGCCAUGUAUCGACUAGCUGCUCCCACUGCUUGUGCAAUGUCUGGUCUUGUACAUAUCAUGGCAAACAUUAAACUUCCCACUGCUGAUGCAUACGGUACUCGAGACAUCUCCAUCCUCUCUGCUUCAUUGCUAGGAGACAUACUUGAGGAUAAUUUGAAGUUAACAGGAAGUGGGGUGGAAAUUGGCUUACAAUCUUGCAUGUUGAAGCGUCGCAAGAUCUUCUUUAAAUAAUUCUUUUGAGAAAGCCAAAUCUUCCUUUUACUUCUGUCUCAGUGAAUUUGCAUCCCUAGAAUCUUGUUUGUUGGUCCCAAGUCUUUCAUAUCAAACUCCCUAGCCAACUGUGCCUUCAAUUCUUGGACUCGAUCUUUGUUGGGGCCUAUUACCAACAUGUCAUCCACGUACAACAACAGAAUGAUGAAAACAUCAUUUUCUUCAAACCUCUUGUAAUACGUACAAUGGUCUGAACUGAGUCUGUUGUACCCAAGGCUAAUUAUGAAGGAAUCAAAUCUCUUGUACCAACACCUCGGCGCCUGUUUGAGACCGUAUAGAGAUUUGUUCAACCUGCAAACCAAGUUCUCCUUGCCUGUUUCAGCAAAACCCUCUGGUUGGAGCAUAUAAAUUUCUUCUUCAAGUUCUCCAUGAAGAAAUGCAGUUUUCACAUCUAACUGCUCUAAGUGAAGAUCAAAUAUAGCACACAUCGCCAAGACUACUCUGAUUGUAGUAAGUCGUACCACCGGAGAAAAUAUCUCAUUAAAGUCUAUUCCUUCUUUCUGAGCAUAUCCUUUCACCACCAAUCUUGCACGAUACCGCUCCACUUGAUCAUUGCCAUCACGCUUUAUCUUGUAAACCCAUUUGUUGCCAAUGGCCUUUCUUCCUUGUGGUAGCGGAACAAGAUCCCAAGUGUUAUUCUUGUGCAGAGCUUCAAUCUCCUCUUGCAUUGCUGUCAUCCACAUAGAUACAUCUGUGCUUUUGAUAGCCUCAUGGAAAGUUGAUGGCUCUCCAUCCUCUGUUAGAAGACAGUAUGCAAUAUUGCUCUCAGUAACAUAUUCUGAGUGCCAAGCCGGUGGUCUUCUUUCACGAGUUGACCGUCGAACUUCAGGAGUUUCAGACUCUAUUUGUUCUUGUUCUUCAUGCUCUGGUGCAGCUUCAGAAGAAGUAUGAUUCUGAGUAUUUUCCAUCUGGACUUCUGUAGUCUCCUUUAAAAUGCUAUUAUUUUCUUCCAUUUGCAUUUUAUCUUCUGCAAAUAUGACAUCUCUGCUGAUGACUACCUUGUGGGCAGUGGGAUCCCACAAGCGAUACCCCUUCACUCCAUCAGCAUAUCCCAAGAAUACACAUUUUCUGGAUUUUGAAUCCAGCUUGCUGACCUCUUGAGUAUUGUACAUCACGUACACAGGACUUCCAAAUAUAUGCAAUCGAGAAUAAUCAGCUGGCUUUCCAGUCCACAUCUCCAUCGGUGUCUUCAACUCAAUUGCAGUAGACGGAGAUCGAUUUAUUACAUAACAGGCGGUAUUGACUGCUUCUGCCCAGAAUGACUUUUCUAGACCUGCAGCCUUCAACAUUGCUCUUGUUCUUUCCAAUAGAGUUCUGUUCAUCCGCUCUGCCACUCCAUUUUGUUGUGGAGUGUAUGCCGUUGUGAACUGCCUUUUGAUACCUUCAUGUUGACAGAAGUUAUCAAAUUCAUCACUGGUAUAUUCUCCUCCAUUGUCAGUCCUCAAACACUUGAUCUUCUUUUCAGAUUCAAGUUCUACCCGCGCUUUGAAGGUUUUAAAAACUGCGAACACAUCUGCCUUCCUUCUAAUCGGAUACACCCAACAUCUCCUGGAGAAGUCAUCUAUGAAUGAUACAAAGUAUCUUGCUCCUCCCAAGGAUACAACCGGUGCUUGCCAAACAUCAGAGUGAAUCAGGUCUAAGAUGCAUUUGCUCUUAGUUGUUGACGUGCCAAACUUCAACCUGUGUUGUUUACUUGUAACACAGUGCUCACAAAAAGGUAAAGUAACCUUUGUAAGCCCAGGGAGUAACUUCUGAUCAGAGAGAACCUUUAAACCUUUCUCUGACAUGUGGCCUAGUUUUUGAUGCCACAUCAUCGUCUUCUCUUCUGCAGGACUGGCUGAUGCGAUUGAUGCUUCUGCCCCUGAUGUGUUUCUCCCAUUAAUACAAACAUGUUUGCAACUGUCUUUCUUGCCUUUAAAACCACCAGCGCGCCUUUGACAAUUUUCAUGAUUCCAUUGUCUGUUCGGAUCUUACAGCCAAGACUAUCAAAUUGUCCUACGGACAAAAGAUUCUUCUUUAAGUCUUUCACAUGUCGCACUCCUGAAAUAGUACGAAUUAAGCCAUCAUACAUCUUCAAUUUGAUGGUGCCAAUGCCAGAAAUCUCUACAGCAUGAUUAUCACCCAUGAACACUGUGCCUCCAGAGAUAGGUUCAUAUGUAUGGAACCAAUCUCGUCUAGGGGUCAUAUGCCAUGUUGCUCCUGAAUCCAUUAGCCAGACCUCAGUGAGCUCUUCUCUAUCUGUAGAGAUUGUUGCUGCUUCACUAUAUAGAACCUCUCCAUCUUCUGAGGUGCUUGCAACACAUCCUUGAGGUUUUGAUGACUCUGCAGUAUUCUCUAUACCCUUUUUAAACCAACAGUCCUUUUUGAAGUGCCCUUUUCUGCCACAGUUGUAGCAUUUCACCAUCUUCUUACUUCUUGAUUUGGACCUCCCCUGCCUUUGACUCCCACUGGAGCCACGUUCCGUUGAUCUUCCUCUUGACACCAACAAUGCCUCAGCUUGGUUUGAACUGUUUCUGUCUCCUUUGUUUUUGCGCCUAUUUUCUUCUUCCAAGAUAGCAGCUGCAACAUCAUCGAAGACUAAAUAGUCUGAGAGGAUAUUAUUGGUCAAGUUGAUAAUGAGCUGAUCAUACGAAUCAGGAAGACUUUGAAGUAGAAGCUCUGCACGUUCAUUUUCCUCUAUUUGUUGACCCAAUAGUGAGUUGUGAAAAUAGAGUUCUUAUUGUGUUGAUGUGGUCAGUCACCGACGUGGUUUCUGCCAUUCGAAGGGUAUAAAGUCUCCGCUUUAAGAAAAUCUUAUUGUGCAAAGACUUGGACUCGUAUAGCUUUUUAGAGUCUCCCAUAUCUCCUUAGCUGUUUUCUUCUCCGCCACACUUGAUAAUACUUCAUCAGCUAAUGCUAAAUGUAUGUUAGCAAUAGCAUUGCCAUCCAUCUCAUUCCAUUUUGCAUUAUCAGUGAUCUCCGCGGGCCGAUCCCCAAUUGCUGCCAAGCAAUUGUCUUUCCUCAAGAUUGCCUUGAUUCUCAUUUUCCACAGUGAGAAAUUGCUCCCCUUGAACCUCUCAAUCUCGUACUUUGCUGCCAUUGUAUUCACCGAGAUCUAUUCAGCUAUCACCGUUUCACAGAUCUGUAACGUAUAUAGAAAUAGUAUCGUGUGAAUAAUACUUCACUAAGUAAGUUCCCAGGAAAGAUUGGAGGGGUCACAAACGGUCCCGCUUAAAACCCAAUCUUCUUAGACAGAACUUCCUAGACUGUAUUUAAUCACCGCAUUGGCUUUCUAUAUACGCCAACAGUAACGUAAGUGAACAAUACCGUAUGGAUGAAUAGUGCCGUAUAGGUGAAUAGUGCCGUAGACGUGAAUGGUGACCGUAUACACGAAUAACUUUUGUGUGUUAACAACACUAACCAAAAAGGCUCUGAUACCACUGUUAGGAUACUAGCAUGCAAACCCGACAAGACAAAAGGUAAAGGAUAGGAUAAAAUGAGAAAUGACACACACAAGAAUUUACGUGGUUCACCCAAUUAGGCUACGUCCACGGGCAAGUAUAGAAGGAUUUUACUAAGUAAUGUGAGAAUUACAACCUCUCUCAAAUAAUAUGAGAACAACUAAGAAUCUCUCUAUUACUAGGAGAAAACACCUCACUUACUCUCUCACAAAUACCUCACAACUUUGUGGGAUUAUUUUCCUUCUUCACUCUCCUCUUCCUCUCUUCUUGUUUCUCUCUUAUGGUGUGUUUACAAUGCUUGGAUGCAUUGCCUAUUUAUAGGCAAACAUCCAUGCAAAUACAAGGGGCAAGGCAAGUGUCACAAGUUUGGUGCCUACAAUUUGUGACUAAGGAAGGAUGGCUUUACCACCAUUGUUGACUUAGGUGGUUGGUUUCACAAAGAAAACUACAGAGACCUUUAGGUUACCAAUCUGGUCAUGAAAUGAAUGUGGGAUGCUCUAGGUUUUCUUCUACUAGUAGCUUGACCACUAUGGAGCUUCUCACCCUAGAACAAGUCACACAACGUAUUUGGUAACCAUUUUAUAAUACUAUGUGAUGAGUGGCCUUUUAAUGUCUACUUGAUUAUGACAAAAAAAAGGUCAAUUUGCUCUAACACCUGCAAAUUGUCCCCGUAUUCUCUCUUUAUCCGUGAAAAUGCAAUCCCAGCUCUUUACAGCCAUGUCUUUGUUCAUCAUAAUCAUAACAAUAACCUUUGUCUUUGUCAUCUCUUACCCGUCAUUGUUUAUAGCUUCAAAUUAAUUUAGACAAGAAGACAUGGAGUUUAAGGUUUAUUAUCACUCAUGAUCAAUGCAUAUAUCAGCGAGGAUAAUUAAGUUUUCACAUGGUUUAAUUCCUGUCAUAUCUGAUAUUCUGUUCUGCUGCAUCUGUGCGAAUCCUCACUUUUUUUUCUGCCUCUACUGUAAAUGCUGCAUUUCUACAGUUAAUCCGUCACUGCAUAUCUGCCAUUCUGUUAUCUCAAGGCUGUUUUUAUGCUAGUUCACAAUUCUCUUCUGCAAUAAUCCAAGUCAUGUAAUUUAUGAAACUAUAACCUUUUUUGCUAUUUUUAAACAAAUCAAAGAACUUCCUUAACGUGGUUGAAAUUGUGUAUUAGACCUGUCGAGAACUAAUAGGUGAUGAAUUCUAUCAAUUAAAAAUAAAAAACUUUGUCAGGAUUCCAUGGAUGACGUUUGGAUAAAUGAAAGAAGCACAAGUAGUACCAAGAACAAAUAAAAAACGUUCGCUGUCAGGCUCAGCAGCAUUAGAAAAGAGAGUAAUCUGCUUGUUUUUAGCAGUAAUAUCAUUUAAGAUGAGUAAAACCCAAGAUAAAAAGAAAAAAGAAAAAAAGAGCAGCACAGAGUAGCAUCAGUGAGAAAGGAAAUACAGCAAAAACGUAAACAGUGAAGAAUCAAGCAAGCCGAAUUAGUUGCAGCAAUAACAGGUUCUUAAGUAACUGCUACAUGUGUCGGGAUUUAUUAUCUCCGUAAAUUUGGAGAACCAAAUCAUUAAAUUUUCCGUGUUUCGUGUCAUUUGAUAAGAUGACACCAGAAAGAGACUUUUCUUUUUUCCACCAGGAGCAAUACCAAGUGGCUCUGAUAGCAUCAUCCAUGCCAUUAGCAGAAUUGUACUUUAAUCAAGUCAAUUCUUACAUAAAAACCAACAUUUUAUUGUUCUUCUUUUGACUGAAUAUUUAAGGAUUGUUGACCUGAAUUCUGAUCAGGUGGCUGGUUUGAAUCCAUUGCUUUCACACAACGCCAAUGUAUGAGCUCUCAUAUUAAAAUGUGUUUUUUAAGUGAAUUUGUGGAGAUUUUUAUUGUUUGAUUCGUUUUUAUCGGCUUACCACGAAUUCCAUCAACAAACUAUCUGCUACGCUUGUAGUCAACAAAGGAAGAGUGAUUUUUCCUUCCCAGUAAAUUGGUGAGCCAAGUUCUAGGAUAGGAAUGGCAAGACAGGAAUCUGAGUUGUCAGAUUGAAUGAAAAGAACAUUUUGCUAUACACUUGGAAUUCAGUAGACCGGUUCAUAAAACGAUCGCCGAAUUAAGUUGGUAGAAUUACGUUUAUUGUUCAAAUUAUGACUUUCUUUAUGAAGUUUAAUUUAUUGUUUGUCUAGAACUUGAGACCUAUAAAUAGGCUUGGUAUAGUCGCAUUGAUAGUUAUUUCUUAAAGAAUAGAUUUAUAAAAUGUCCACAUAAAUAUAAUAUCUAUGUAAAAAUAAAAAAGAGUUGUGAUAUUUUUAUUAUAUGUAGAUAAAAUGAUCUUUACAAGAAAUAAUCCAAAGAUAUUUGGAGACUUCAAGUAAGCAAUGAGCAAGAAGCUUGAGAUGACGGAUAUUGGUUUUAUAACAUACUACUUAAGGAUUGAGAUCAAGUAAGGAAAAAACGGAAUCUUUGUUAAUUAAAAGAAGUUUGCAAAAGAGAUUCUUGAAAAUUUCAAAAUAAAAGAUUGUAUAAAAGUGAAUACUUCAAUUGAAUAUGAAGUGAAGAUGUCAAAGAACAGUGAAGAAGAUAAAAUAAACUCUACAAUAUUCAAGAGCCUAAUUGGAAGUUUGAGAUACUAGUUACAUUCAAGAAUGGUUGAACCAAGCAAAUAAUACGAGGAAAGAGUCUUAAUAGCAACCUCUAGAGAUAUGAAUACAGGAAAUUCCUUAGCAUCACAGUUUCACUGGAAGCUUUCAACAGGAUGUAACUAUGGUUGCAGUCAUAACUCAUAAACCAAGCAAAUAAUACGAGGAAAGAGUCUUAAUAGCAACUGCUAGCCUGUAUUCAGUGUCAACCUAAUUCAAUUUGGUUGUUAACAAUUGAGCUUUUCCUAUACCAUUGAUAAUAUGAUUUAAUUAAUAAAAAGCCCAAGACGGAGUAAAAUUACAAAAAAUAAAAAGGUCUCUUUAAACCUUAUUUUUUAAUUAUUCAUUUGCUAAGGGCGUAAAGGUGGCCUGAUUGACUUCCUUGGAUGUGUAGUUUGCAAUAAACUGCUUUGACAUUUGGGUAAUCAUGUACUUGCUUAACCUGGAUAGUUUUGCACAGACAAGUUCAAUUUAUAUUUUAUUUUUGUUUCUAUAAAUCAGAAGUAUAAAACAAAAUGUUAAUAUUUGUUGAUCCUCCAUUUGAUUGCUAUAUUUUUUUGUUAUAUUGUUCAAUUUUCAGUUAUCUGUAUGUACAAUCAUAGUUAGUAGUCAGAGAUUUAUGGCUCAUCACUCUUAAAAUAUCGUUUAUGGAAAUUAGAGAUAAAAUCAAAUUGGAUAUAAGGGAUUUUAAUAUUAUUUUUUAACUUCAGGUAACAUCAGAUGAAGUGGUUGAUUGCUCUCACAGCAAAACAACUUUGGGAGCUUUGCAAAGAGAAAUAUGAACCAUUGUGGAUCAAUGGAGGUGGGCAUUGCAAUCUUGAGCUUUACCCAGAAUUUAUCAAACAUCUGAAGAAGUUUGUUUUGACCAUAGGCAAAUAAAAAACAGCUACAAAUGGUCCUAAAACAACAGCAGAGUCUGAAAAUCAGAACAAACCAUCUGAGAGUGCAAGUUCAGACACUUUUGAACUGGGUGACCUUCCUGAAAUCUCUAGAAAUAGCUUAGAUAGUAGGCUUGAGAAGUCUAAGAAGCCAAAUAAGCCUGAAAAGUCUCGGAUGAGCACUGACCGUGUUGAUAGAUUUAGAAGAAGAAAAGGCUUGGUCUGGUGAUUAUUUAUGCCAAGAGCUUCAUAAAUAAAAUACAUGCAUUGGUUGACUUGAGAAGGUAAUUUAAUUUCACCCCUGCUCUGUAAUGUGGAUUGAGUCUAGUACAAAUUAUUAGAUUGAGUGUAAUUUUCCAUAGAAAUGUUGUAUCUGUACGAAUGCUUAGAACGUGAGUCAAAUUAAGCGAAAGCUUGUAUUUUAACUCUGAGCUGUUCAUUUGAAGAUAAAAUCAUGUAUUCGCAACUAUCACGUGUAGCCAUUUUUCGUUUUUCCUUCUCUGUAGAUUUGAGAAAGUUUUAUAUGCUCAUCUGGUGCUGACCAUUUUCUUUCUUGGUCAUGAUUUACAUCAACAAACAAGAAACGUUUAUGUUUAUGUUUUUGGGAUUCUUCAACUCGGAUUUGGGAAACGUUCUGCAUGUUGCUGGACAUCCUGGGUGAUUUUGAUAUCAGGGCAUAUAGAUCAUCCAGGAAAGAAUCGAAAGAUUUCCUGUUUUUCUUCUUUGGGAUAUGUUUCAAGGACAGUAACAUCCUUGCUCUGCAAAGCAGAGUCAAAGAAUAUGUUUAUCAACAGUGCGUUAAACUACUUUCACCAUGUCUAACUAUGUGUCCCCAUUCUCCAUUUCUCAUUUCUCUCUGAACAGAAGUUUUAUACUGUCCUCCAAGCUUCCACUGAACAUUCAAGCAGGUCAAACCUAUUCUUUACUGGUAGCCAUACUCUUCAUUUCUUGGCAGCUUGUGUUUUUGUGAAGUAAUGAAGUAAUUUUCUUCUUCUUUUUGAACUGCAAUCGACACCUCCGGUGGUAUGAAAGUCAGAUGAAAGGUUACAUGUCAGUCAAGGGAGGGAUUAUUGACCAACCAAUUUAAAGAACAAUGCGCCCCGCAAACACUAGCUGCUCUGGUUACCAGUCUGAGGAACAAUUUGCAUAUUGACAAAUGAGGGAGACAUAAGUGCAUCUAUGGGCUGCUGGACUAAAAUGGAGGAGUCUAAUUUGUAAAAAUCACUGGAGAUGUUCAGGCAACUGAAAUACAAACUCUAGAGGCUUCAAUCAAAAAGUCUCGUCAAUUCCGUAGACAAUUGCUACACAUGCAUAUUGGUACUAUGUUGAGGGCACAGAAAGAUGCAACCGUGUUCAUCUUGAUCUUAGCUCUUAGCUAAAUGCAGAGCCUUGAUUCUCUCCAAAGGCACGAGCAUCUCUUCCUGCUAUGGUUCUUCUUGAGUGAUGAAGGCACUAAGAGAUUUCAAAAUCAUAAAGUGCCAUGCAGCAUAGCGCUAUCGGCUGGCAGCUUCUUACUUGAGACCUAGUCAUGCUACAUGUUAACUCAGUAUUUUACUUUUCAACGGAUUCACGUGUGGAAUUCUAUUAUUCAUGAGUGGAAUUCAGUACGGCGGGAAAAAGAAAAAGAAUUGAGGUCCAAUUUUCUCCAAUAUCUACAGAUUGUCCCUGUAACCUCUCUCCAUCUCCGAAAUGCAAUGCCAUCUCUUUCCUACCAAUUCUUGGUUCAUCAUAUUCCUAAUAAUAAUCUUUGUCCAUGCUCCAUCAUCUGCCUUUGCGGAUGAUGAUGAGCGAUAUCUGAGCUGCAUGAAGUCAUAUGAUUGCGGAAAUAUUAAGGGUGUUGGUUAUCCUUUCUCGGGAUCCGAUAGGCCUGAUUACUGUGGCUAUCCCGGGUUUGAGCUCGGUUGCAGCAACCAAGAUCCGGAGAUCACAAUCAUGAAAUUGAGUUACAAACUCCUUGACAUCAAUAAGCAGUCGCGGACUCUCAAUGUUUCUAGAUCAGAUUACACAGCAAAUCUAUGUCCUACUCUCCUUUCCAACACCUCUUUGAAUCCAAACCUCUUUAAUUACACUUCAGAUCAUGGUGAGGUAAAACUGUUCUAUGGUUGCCAUAGUCCAAGAGCAAUCGUGUUGAAGUUCCUGCCCUUCAAUCAGCUAUUGUGCCAAUUCUAGUCAGUCCAACUGUAGCACAGUUGCUUGGAGCUAUUAAUCAAGGUUUUGAGUUGGAGUGGAGUGCAAAUGAUUCAUUAUGUGAUAAAUGCAAAUAUUCUGGUGGUCAGUGUGGGUACAACCAGACCACUACAGCAUUCACUUGUUACUGUGCGGAUCAACCUCAAGAUUUUGAAUGCUCAUCAUCACCACAGGCACCUAGUCAAUCAACAAGUAUGUCCUCUUGCCUGUUAUUAUUGUCUUUUUCCCUAGUCAAUCAACAAGUAUGUCCUCUUAAUCCAAGUUUCUCACCUCAUAUUUUUGUCGGAUCAGGCCUUAGGUGGCACAUAUGACGGUCAUUCUGAACCAUUGACAAUAUUUACGAACACAAACCUAGAACGUCAUAACGUCAGAUGACCUUUAUUUUUAUUUGCAUAAUAUACUAUAUUCUUUGAUUUGUCUUACUAUCUUGCUUGUUAGCUCGCAAACUUGUUAAAUAUACAUCUUUUCAAUAUUAAGUCUUUUCUAUUGAUGAUUUUUUAAUGUUGUUUACUAAGUCACUUGUUAAUUUGCUCAUUGGAGCUUCUUGGAUGUAUAGAAGUUCAGACAGGAAAUGGGGUUUUGGUAUAUUCUUACAAAAUCGAAAAAAAGUUGCUUCUUCGUCCAAGAAAUGGGCAUCGUAUUGUUAUCCUCAGAAUUGUCUAUCCUCUUGGUACAGUACACCAAGAUUGCCGUGAGGCUGUAAAACAGUAAUUAAGAAGGUGCGAGGCCUGAAACAUGGAAGUCAAAUAAACCAAAUACUUGAAACAAUAACAAGGUCACGGAAUGUGACUAUCAAAAUUGCAAAUAAACACUAAAAAUUAAUUUAUCUUGCUAAGAAAAUGACCUGCUGAUUCCCCUAGCCGCCUAAAUCCGCGUUGGUGACACCCUUGCCAUUCAAAUAGAAGCUUCACUUUGACAAAUUUGAAACCCCCACUUGGUCAAUUAAUACCUGUUCCAUUAUAACGGUUGAUUGAAAUAGCUUCCAUCUAUUUUGUUUUUCCAUUUAUCUCAAUGAUAGAGCAAUUUCUCCUCUGAAUCCCUCUCUAAGAGAAAAUGCAACCCCAUGUCUUCCCAGCCAUGUCUUGGUUUAUCACGUUCAUAGCCAUGAUCUUUAUUUGUGGUUCGACACUUGUGUUCGCCAACGACGAUGAGCGAUAUGUAAACUGCAGCAACUCUUUUGAUUGUGGAGAUAUUAAGGGUGUUGGUUAUCCUUUCUGGGGAUCCAAUAGGCCUGAUUACUGUGGCUAUCCGGAGUUGAAGCUCAACUGCAGUGACCAAGAUCUGGAGAUCACAAUCGAGAAAUUGACUUACAAAGUUCUUGGCAUCGAUAACCAGUCACGGAUUCUCAGUGUUGCUCGAAAAGACUAUGCAGAAAACAUCUGUCCGACACUCAUUCUCAACACCACUUGGAUACCCAGUCUAUUGAACUACACAUCCGAUGAUCAGAACCUAACAAUCUACUAUGGUUGCCCCACUCAAGGUGCACCAACUUCACCUUUUGUACCUCAGUUUCCCUGCAACAUAAACGCCACUGAGAUGACGGGCUACUUUACAGCAUUUGCCAACUUGUCGGUUCUUGGAAGCUCUGCUUCUAGCUUGACCAGUUACCUGGCAACGUGCAAAGAUAGCAUUAAAGUUCCAGUACGUGAAUCAGUUUUUCAGCAAAUUUUAAGUACUCCAACUGCAGCACAGCUGCUGGAAGGUCUAAAACAAGGUUUUGGUUUGGAGUGGAAUGCAUCUAAUAACUUAUGCGAUACAUGCAAAUAUUCUGGUGGUCAGUGUGGGUACAACCAGACUACUACAGCAUUUACUUGUUAUUGCAAGGAUCAACCUCGACAAUUCUACUGCCAAGAAUCUCCAACUGAAGCUCAAUCCCCAACUAAUGAUCAAUCCCCAAGUAUGUCCUCUUGCCUGUUAUUAUUUUUUUUCUGCUGGUGUCACCCUAGGAGUAAAUAAGAAAACAGACAACUUAUACUUGGAUUCUGCCCUUUCCAGAACCCAAGAUAUGUCCUCCUCCAAAUUAGGUAGUGGUAGAAGUAGGAUCUUUGCUAAUAGAAAACUGACCUCUUAUCAGUCAAGGAAACCAUGCAUGAAGAGGAUGAGAUAUUAUUGCAUCCAAUCACCCCAGGAAUAGGUGCGAAUCACCAUUCCUGGGCAGCCAUUAGGAAUUAUUCAAAGUUCCAUGAUCCUGAAGAAAACAUCUUCCUUGACCUAUUACUUCCUGUGUAACAAGGAAGCAAGGACUUCAAGUAAUUCACAAAGACUUGGUAACAUGGGAAUUAAUAAAAAAAUUUAUAUUUGUCGACCAAUUCGUUGUCAUUAUAAUUUUUUUUGUAAAAAUAUUUUCUUGCACUUUAAAAAGCGCUGGGUAUUUUCUUUCAUUCUUUGUCUUACUGUUUCUGUGUCCUUUAUUUUUUAGGAAGAAUAUGUUGAAUCCUACAAAAUGAUCUUAUAUAAAGAAAAUAUCUUUAAAAACAGUAUUUAUACACAUCUUGAGUUUUGAUUACUGUUUUUUUUUUCUUUGUUUCUGUUUUUCGUCAUCAUAUCUUUACCAUCAAAACAUAAUUUACCAAAUCAGUAUAGUAUAUAGACUUUAUGCUUUAUACAAAAAAAAAUGAGCUUAGUUAUUUUUCAAGACUUUCAUUAGAUUAUAAUUGUUUUUUGGCACACACUGAAAAGUCAACCUCUAAAUAAAAAGUCACAUACUGAAAAGACAACCUCUAAAUAAAAAAAAUAUUAUUUUUUAUCCUGUGAUAUAAAAAUAAAUCUUUAACAAUACUAUAUUCCACCAUCAUCAAUCACCACCACUUUUUAUAUUAUGACUACUAUUAUUAUUCAAAUCUCAACUCCCACUUCACCAACAAUCACAUCUCAACCACCUUUAUUUUUUAAACACCAAUAAUUAUCUCACCACCACCUUCAUCACCACCAAAUUUUAAAAUUACUUAUAAAAUAUUAGAAAUUUUAUAAAUUAUUUUAUAGAAAUGUUUUUUUUCAAUAUCAUUACUAAUAGUACAAUAAAAAAUAUUUAAUAAUUUUAGAAUUCAUAUAAAUUGCAAAAAAUAAUUUUAAUAUUUUUCCUAAUAUAUUUGUAUUUAAUUUUAAUUAAGUUAAAUUGCCCGACCAAAUAUAUAUCACACCAAUUAAUUUUAGAAACUAAAUAAACAAACUCAUAUUAGGCCUAUAUUAACAAUCACACAUUUUUUUUUUUUAAUUUUAUCAAUACAAUAUAGUUACGGGAAUAAUAAUUAAUUACAAAAUUUAUUUUUAUUUUUCUAGUUAUUAAUAGGCAUAUGCCCCCGACUGCUAUGUAGCUAUUUUCAGAACCUGUUUUUAUUUAAUUCUAUGAUAAUUAAAAUUAACAUUUAUAAAAAUUAAAAUAAUUAAAAUAAAUGUAUUUCUUCACUCAAAAUUCUAUUUUCUUAACAAUGCAUUUCUCUCUUUCUUUUUGACAAAAGAAUAUAUAUAUAUAUAUUUACCAAGAACAUAAUUAUUUGAAUGAAACCUCAAUGCAAUUAAAAUAAAUAAAUAUAAGAACACAAAUGAUUUAAAUUUAAGAAGGAAAAAAUGUAUUUCUUUUUGUCAUAAUCUCCUUUUCUUAUUUAUUUAUUUUUUUCUGAUAAAAACCUUUGUUUUAGAAAUAUGAUUAUUUAAAUAGAAACUCAUCAUCACCUGAAAAGAAAAUUCCAAUUGCAAAAAAUAAAAAAUCAAGCCUUGAUAAUUUUUACAUAGCAGAAUGAAAAAAUAAAAAUAAAAAUAAAAAUUGAAAUGUAUAAAAUAUCAUAAUUUUAAAUGUUAAAGUAACAAGGAUAGUAUAAUCUUCGCAAAUGUUAACACCCGUAACAAUCCUUUAUCUAGUAUAGUUAAUGAUAAAAAUGAGGCUAUAUAUAAGAAAAAUGAGUUACUUAUAUAAAAGAUGGACACAGAACAUUAGUCUAUAAUUCUUGUAGGUUGGAGGUGGUGUUCAUCUCGUGACCACAGUCCCAACACGAACAACUCCUUAACAUUAUUUGAUGUCCUGUUACAGGAUCUACUCGGAGGAGGCGACUAUGGAUUGCCUUAGGUAAGUAAAUAUAAUCAUAAGAAAGCUAAUAUUCUUUUUUAACGAUGAUAUCGAUGAUGAAGCAUCUUAAAUUACAGGCAUAUCAGCAGCUGUGGCAGCAAUGAUGACUUUUUCCAUAAUUACAAUAUAUCUUACUAGAAGAGAAGGUUCUUUUGGUGCUGUCAUAGCAAUGACCUUCAGGCUGAAGAAAUCGCAGCAUGUUAUUAGGGUUAAAACAUUUAUGAGGGACUAUCAUUCUCUUACUCCAAAGCGUUAUUCGUAUUCAGAUAUCAAGAAAAUGACCAACUCAUUCGUCUAUACACUAGGCCAGGGAGGAUUUGGUAAUGUAUAUAGAGGAAAGUUACCAGAUGAUGGUCGUCUUGUAGCUGUGAAAGUCCUAAAAGAGUCCAAUGGUGAUGGAGAAGAGUUCAUGAAUGAAGUUGCAAGCAUCAGUAGAACUUCCCACGUGAAUGUAGUUACCCUUUUGGGAUUCUGCUAUGAGAGGUAUACAAGAGCUUUGAUUUAUGAAUUCAUGCCCAAUGGAUCUUUAGAUAGCUUUAUAUCUAAUAAAGGACCCCCACAUACAAACUGUCGUUUAAAAUGGAAAAAAUUAUAUGAAAUUGCAGUUGGUAUUGCUAGAGGCCUGGAGUACUUGCAUAGAGGGUGUAACACUCGGAUUGUGCAUUUUGACAUAAAGCCUCACAACAUUCUUCUUGAUGAAGACUUUUGUCCAAAGAUCUCAGAUUUUGGUCUCGCGAAGCUAUGCCAGAGCAAAGUAAGUAAGAUUUCGAUGAUAGGUGCCAGAGGAACUAUUGGUUACAUAGCGCCUGAAAUAGUCUGCAGAAAUUUUGGAGGAGUAACUUACAAGUCUGAUGUGUAUAGUUAUGGAAUGAUGGUUCUUGAAAUGGUCGGGCAAAGGAAAGAUUUUGAUAUGGGAUUGCCGGAAACCAACGAGUUGUAUUUCCCGGAUUGGUUUUAUAUGUAUCUUGAGCCAGGAAAGAUUUCAACACUUCAUGGAGGUAUAACGGAAGAGGAAGAAGAGAUUGUUGAAAAGAUGAUUUUAGUGGGUUUGUGGUGCAUCCAAACCAUUCCAUCACAUAGACCAUCAAUGACAAAGGUGGUAGAGAUGUUUGAAGGCAGUCUUCAAUCUUUGCAAAUUCCACCGAGACCUUCCCUUUCCUCUCCUAGAAGGUCCGUCCAAGAUCACUCUUCCACUGUAUCAUCACUGCCUCGCGUGUCGUCCCAGGGGGGUGGGGUAAACACAUUGUCUGUAGAUGAAAGUGACUUGUAACUGGAAAUUGCAAAUUUUAUUUAGCCUUAUAAAAAUAAAAAAACAAACCUUUAUUUGUUCUUCAUCUAAGUGGUGCUCUUGGUUGAAUUAAUUUUUUCUAUGAUAUAGCUCAUGCACGGGAGGAAACCCUCUCAGUGCUGGUAAGAGACACUAUCCUCUUACCUUCAUUUUUUUUGUUCAUGAUGUUAACAAAUCCUAGUAUGUACUUGAUGUUCAAUAAAUGGGAAGUGUAGAAUUGAUCUGUUCCUGCUUGCUUGUCAUUGUUUAUAAUUUCAAAGUUUAGACAAGACUAAGAGGCCGAGCUUUAUUAUUGCUUAUAGUUAAUGUCAUCAAAGCUUCAUUGCAAUUUUCAUGGCGAACUUCAAUUGUCAUUAUAACGACCAUGAACCUGAAUGGCCAACAUAGGAGGCAUAUAAUGAAUUCAUUUAUCGAAGAUGAAAUAGCAGGAACCAAUCCCUGCUUACAAGGCUCUAGGGAAGACGAAAACAAAAGGAAGGGAGGCUGUAAUAGCACAUUACAAAUAGAUGUUCCUUUUCACCUGUACUUGAUAGAGAAAUAAAGAGUUAAGAAACCUGCUGGUAGUAGAAUAUAAUUCGGUAUGCCAUCUAACUAGUCAAAUUUAUAUCUUCAUGUUUUGAUUUCUGCUACAGGACUUUUGAAGAGACACUGGCGACUUGUCAUUACAGAAGGUAGUACAGUAAUCAAAUUUAUAUCUUCCUCUUCCUCUACCUUUUUCAAUAACCAGUGGUGGUAACUAUUUCAUGGUUCUCACAUUUUCUUAUUUUAAGCCAUGUCAGCUCCUGUGGUGCUGUUUUUAGCAGUCUUUAUCAUUCGGUACAUUUUACUAAAAGAGAAGGAUUAUUUAGUGGCAAGACAAUGACCCUCUGACGGAAGAGCACGAAGCAAAAUGAAAAGAUUAAGGCAUUCAUGGUGAACUAUCACUCUCUUAUACCAAAGUGGUAUUCAUUUUUAGAUAUUAAGAAAAUUAACAACUCAUUUAACAACAGAUUAGAUCAAGGGAGAUUUGAUAGUGUAUACGAAUUAAGGGAAGUUGCUAGGUGGGUCUUGUGGCAGUAAAAGUCCUCACUAAGUUACUGAUGGAGAAGAAUUUAUUAAUGAAGUUGCCAGCAUCAGUAGAACUUCCCAUAUAAACACAGUUAUUCUUUUGGGUUUUUGACAUGAGAGGACUGAAAGAGCCUUAAUCUAUGAGUAAAUGCCCGAUGGAUCUCUCGAUAAGAUGGUGUUUGGCAUGAUCGAUAAAAUAAAAUAGGGUAAGAAAUUCAUUAAUUCCUUAUAUAUAUAUAUAUAUAUAUAUAUAUAUAUAUAAACAAAAUUUCUUUGAUUUUUUUUUAAAAUUUUGGAACCGGGAUUGAUCCUACCAAGUCAUGAGUAUUUGGGCCUUACCGUAGAUUGAUCCUAGUGUUAAGAUUUAAAACUAUAAUGAUAACUAUUUUUAUCUUUACGUUGCUUUGAGUUAAUUCAAGUUGACCAACCUAACCGACUUUUUAGUUGAGUUUUAAAAUUAUGAUAAUAAUUAUAUUUAUUCUUACGUUGACUCGGGUCAAUGGUCAAUCCAGUUUAUGACCCGAGUUUAGUCUCGGGUCGACUCCCAAGUAGGGUUUUAAACUAUGAUGAUAACCAUUUUUAUCUUUAUAUUGGCCAGGGUCAAUGGUCAACUCGGCCCGUGACUCGAGCCUGGUCUUGGGUCAAUUCUAAAGUUAGGUUUUAAAAUUAUGAUAAUAAUUAUUUUUAUCCUUACAUUGACCUGAGUCAAAGGUCAGCUUGACCUGUGACCUGAACCUAACCCUAGGUUAACCCCCAAGUUGAGUUUUAAAAAUAUAAUAAUAAUUGUUGUAACCCAUUUUUGAGUACCCUGUAAAUCAAAUAAAAAAAAAAUAAAAAAAAUUGAACAGUGUCGUUUUGACACUGUUCCUCUUCCUGCGUGCUGCUCCACGCCAAUGACUGCAUGCUGCUCCCAAAACUUAAAGCCCCACGCCACCUGCUUGAAGACCUCACCCGGUGUCCCCUGCUCCCCACCCGCAACAGCAGCCCGCUCCUUUCUAGCCUAUAAAUACCGCUCUUAACACCAGCAGCAGGGGGGAUUUUUUUGGACGAGAGAGAGAGGGCUCUUUUGAAACUGAAAGGGAGGAUGAUUUUUGGAAGCUGAAGGGGAGGCUUUUGAAAAUUUUGAAAUGGGAGUAAAGUUUGAACCGAGGACAGCUCACCAUCUCCUUCCCCCCGCAACAACACUGUGAGAAGCAGACAGGGGAAACAAAAACAGAGGAGAACAGAGCUGAAGAAAAACACCGAGAAGAACAAAGAAGAAAGCCCAACCACCGUCCAAGUCACUCCCCGGCCGCCACUACCAGCACCUUCACAAAGCUUCCAUAAAGAGGGAAGAACAUUGCUGACUGAAGGAAACCAAGAGAAGAAGCAUCGUCUCUGCAAAAGGGAAGAAGAAGAGAAAAUAGUUGUUGUCAUCGAGCUUCCUAGCCACUACCACCGUCAGAAUCACCGUGAGCCCUCAUUGGCUUCCUCUCCACCACCACCAGCAUCACUGUGAGUGUUCGACAUCGUCUUCGCUCCUUUCGGUUCCACGUUCAGGUAAGCGUUUUGCGUCCCUGUGCAUGUGAUUUUCUUUAGCAUUUUCACUGUGCAAGUGAAUUAUAAUUCACUUGAACAGUGAAAUGCAAAUGUUACUGUUCAAGUGAAUUAUAAUUCACUUGAACAAUACCAUCUAUUACUAUGCAUGGUUUCUUUUGCAUGUUACCAUGUGUGGUUUCCUUUGCCAUUUUGUGAAUUAUAAUUCACUUGAAGAAUACCAUUUGUAUAUAGUACUAAGCAUGCACACGUGAGCUUCCACCCAGGACACUAGCUCAGGCCAGUGACCUGAUUAGGCCUGCUGGGUCCAGCCCAGCCAUAUAGGCCGAACGGGGCCCAACCUAAAAAAAUUUAAUUAUUAAAAAUAAAAAUUCUUCAAAAAAUUAUUUCGAAAAAAUAAGUGAUUUUCUGCAAUUUUAUUACUGAUAUCGGUUUGUAUUUUUAUACUGUAAAGAUACAAAUCCGGUAUUAAAAUACCCGGUUUUCAAAAAAAAAAAGUUCAUUAAAAAAAUAUAUUUUGUUUUCAUGCAUACGACCUAGUCUCUCCAAUAUAUAUAUAAAUAUUAUAACAUCAUAUUUUCACACAACAAAGAAAAUUUCAAAACAAUAUAUUUAUUCGCAUGCAUUUUGGCUUUAAUAACCAGUUUAUUCAAGCCAUGAGAACUAGGCCAAUAUUUCAAAAAUUCCAAAAACAUUAUUGUGUUUUUUUUUAGUAUUUGGGGUUACGAUCUUAUACGUAAGACGUAUUUCGAAUAUUAAAUUUUUUUGUUAACGUCAGAAUUACCCAUUAAGAUAAGGAUCUCCUUACCGAGGAUGACUUUUCUUGAACCAUACAAACAACUAGGAAACACACGAAAAGACCUUAGAUUUUAUCAGACAAUAAAACAAUGCAGCUUACCUUAAUAUAUGGCGUAAUUGGGGUGCUAAUACCUUCCCUUUACGCAACCAGUCCCCGUGCCCGAUCACUGAGACCAGUUAGGGUUCCUAGUAACCAAAAUACUAGGUGACGACUCCCAUUCCAUUUUCCACCAACAAAAAACAAUAUUUUCUUGUCUCCCCAACAUUUUCCAGAGAUUAGAUAGAUAUACACUUCCUAAUAAAGUGGAACCGAUUUCGCCGCGACACCGCACACGUGCGACAAUAAUAAUAAUAAUACUUUUUUAUUUUUAUGUUGACUAAAGUCAAUAAUCAACCCGACCUGUGACCUAGACCCGAUCCCUAGCCGAUCUUAUAGUCGAGUUUUAAAACUAUGAUAAUAAUCACUUUUAUCCUUAUAUUGGCCCGGGUUAAUGGUCAACCCAACUUAUGACUUGAGCCUGGCCUCAGGUCGAUCACAAGUUAAGUUUUAAAAUUAUGAUAAUAACGAUUUUUAUUUUUAUGUUGAUCCGGGUCAAUAGUUAACCCCACCGUGACCUGGGCCUAGCCUUAAGUCGGCUAUAAAGUUGGGUAUUAAAAUUAUAACAAUAACUACUUUUAUUUUUAUACUAACUCGAGUUAAUGGUCUCGACCCGUGAUUAUUAUUGUCCCAAAUAUCAAAAACUACCUAAAUUUAUAUCUUAUAAAGAAUUCGAGCAAAUAAAAUAGAAAGCAUACCUUGAUGAAUAACAAUCUAUUUAAGAAAAUGCAGUCCUGAAUUUAAUUUGAUGAAAAACUUUGUUUCUCUUAACUUCAAUUAUUUUCAAGUAUGUUUUGAUGAAAAAAGAUGUUUGAUAAAAAUCAGUUUUCUUAAUAAAUUUAUUAUCCCAUACAUUCAUCAAUAGUUAUAAUAAAAAACCACUUUUCAAAAUUAAUCAUCGAAGAGCCCAUUAGCUAAUAUAUAUCCAUCACAUCUUACACCCAGCUUUCAAUUUCAUGUUAUAACCAUCUCUUUUUCCUAUCUAGCGCGUGGCCCAGGGACGAUUAAAGUAAGAAAUAAUUUGGUGUAUAAAGGUCUACUAAAAGUGCUAUGCAAUCGCUUGUUUCAUUUGGCCACAUCACCUUCCAAUUUAAGCCAAACUCAAUAGUCAGCUCUUAAAUUCUUGACGAAGCCUGUUUUCGGUAUUUUGUGAGUUCCCGUUAACACAAUUUUCUAGCCAGCUCUUAGGCUCCGUUCAGAAAAAUUAUAUUUUCUUAGAAAAUAAAUUUUGAGAAAGUGAAUUUUUGGAUAGUAAGUUAUUUUUUGAUAUUUAGUAGUGUUAUGAAAAAUAAAAUAAAAAAUAUUUUUUGGUGUUUGGUUAUGUUAUGAAAAUAAUUGAAAAAUAAUUUAUUAAUAAAUCAAUUUUUUUUAAGUUUAUCUAAUAUAUAUAAAAUAUUUAAUAUAAUAUUUAAUCACUUAUAAUAAAAAAGAAUGAAAUCUAAAAAGUAUAAUGAUGAUUUUUUUUAUUAUAUCCUAUAUUCAUAUAUAGUUUAUUUUAUAAAAUAUAACUAUAUAUGUCAUAUCAUAUUAUAGAAAAAUAACAUUUGUGAAAUAUUUUUUGAGUAAAACCUAUUAAUAUAUAUUUUUUUAAUUUUAAAAGUUUAAAAUAAGUUUUUUUUGUUUUUAUAUGAAGAAAGUCAAAUUAGUUUAUAGUAAGAGUUAGAUAUUUGGAUAUUUUUUUUGUAUGAAAUUUUUUUUAAAAAAUAAAUAAAUAGAAAGAUAUUGUGAUGUGUUUUUUUGGAUAAAGAUUAAUCAUUGAAGAGCCCAUUAGCUUAUCUAUAUAUCCAUCACAUCUCACACCCAGCUUCAAUUUCAUGUUAUUACCAUCAUGCCAUAUGACUUUUCCAGCCUUGCUAGAAUAUAAGCGAUCUUUGUUUUUCCUUGCAAGUCUCCUUGACCAACAGUGUUCUGUAUGUUCCGAGAGAGUGAUGUGCAGUGCAUAGACUUUAUGUUUUCAAUAAAGCACAGCGGAGAUUAAUGUGCUCAUCAUACCUUUGCAUGCAAGUCACCUGAACUUUUAAAUAAUGCAUUUAUUUUUGUUCCUCAUUUCUUUAUCCUCUGAACUUUCCCAGAAACAACCAAGCCCAUUUUGAAACCCAAUGUCACGCAAUCGGUUUCAAUCUUCUAUUUAAUUUAAUUUAAUUUCUAUGCAUCUAUUUCUUUGUUUACUAUCCCAGUCCAUACUCAAAGUGCGUUUUUUUAUUUGUCAUAGCACUCCAAUUUGAUGUCCAAUUUUUUGAAUAAACAUUUUACUAACAUGACCAUACCUUUAAAACAAAUAAUUCAAUUUUACAGAUUUUUAAUUUUACUCCAAAAGGUUUUCUCAAACUAAUCUACAAUUUUCUCAGUAGUUGCUAAUUAUAAAUACAAGUUUGACAGUAGUUGCUAAUUAUAAAUACAAGUUUGACAGUUGGAGGAGGGCUUGUACGUAAUAGUUAUUAACUAGUUUGUUAAUAAAGAAAUAAUAAUUUUUUUAAAAAAUAAUGAAAUUAAAAUAAUAAUAAUUACAAUUUAAUAAAUUAUUUCAAAUAAAAUAAGUAACAAUCAAAAGAAUAAGAUCAAAUUUGAUAGAUAAAAAAUUUCAAUUAAAAAAAUAAUAAUAAAAAAAAGCAAAUAACAAUCAUAUAAAUGAGAAUCAAAGUUAAUAUAAAAAUCAAAUUUUAAGGGAUGAAUUUAAAAAUAAAAAAUUAAACAAAAUAUAUAUUAAUUAAAAUUUUGAUGAUCAAAUUUGAUAUAAUCAGUAAAUAAUAUAAUAUUUUUAAAAUUUUCACAAUUUCUGGAAGAUAUUUUCUUUUUAAAAUAAAAAAAAAAUACUUUCCUAUAAAUCAAACCAGAUUAAAAAAUGUUUUUUAUUAAUCAAUUUUUUUAAUAACAAACAAACCCUAUUAUUUUCUCUUAAUUUUUGUUAUUAGGUAAGAGAAAGACCCGAUUUCAUGUAAUUAUCAUCAACCACAUAACUUUCCAAACUAUGCGAGGAUUUUUUUGCGUGUCCUUUAAUAUAUUUGACCGAUUAUGUUCUCUUCUUUUAGUCCCCAUGACAGUGAUGCAUCAUAGCAUACAAAGACUUCAUUUUGCAAAUAGAGGCCUCGUCGAAAGAGAUUAGUGUGGUAGCCCUUUCCCAAGAAACAAAUAAAUGAAAAACUUUGAGUCCACCAAGCAUUUAAAUCCAAGUAUUGCGUUCACAUCUAUCCCUUUCUGAUGUAUUUAUUUACCUGAAAUUGAUAAUUAGCACGUCAAGACUCAUCUCUUUAUACUCGAAACAACCAAGCCCAUUUUGCUAGCACACAAUUCCAUUUCUCCUAUGCUACUUCCUCUUGCCAGAAUGAAUUCCUCGGCCUUUUCUUUUCUUUCAGAUUUGGUUCUUGUAUUGUUGCUCUUCAUUCAAGUCCCUUCAUCCCUAGGCAACGAUGACCUGUUCACUGCCUGUAGUAAAAAGUUUGUAUGUGGGGGUGUUUCCGCGGGUUUUCCGUUCUGGGGAAAUGACAGACCACCUGCCUGUGG
This 88368-nucleotide long non-coding RNA is filed under the name Populus tremula. RNAcentral's name for it is "long non-coding RNA (PTRE_LNC001319)". The stretch from base 49733 to 49865 matches the Rfam family "MIR480 microRNA precursor family". Lineage: Eukaryota; Viridiplantae; Streptophyta; Magnoliopsida; Malpighiales; Salicaceae. The record is from RNAcentral.